CGAAUCCUGUCUUGCCUUGUUUGUGUCUGAUGUUUAUAUCUGUCUUUCCGUUUUGGGAAAUUUCAGGACAGUUUCUUCGCUUCCUUUGCCCUUGGAUGGCUCAUCACCAACGGUGCUGGUCUUGCAUCUUACCCAAUCGACACAGUCCGUAGAAGAAUGAUGAUGACCUCCGGUGAAGCCGUGAAGUACAAGAGCUCCAUGGAUGCAUUCCAACAGAUCCUGAAGAAGGAAGGACCCAAGUCUCUGUUCAAGGGUGCUGGUGCCAACAUCCUUCGUGCUAUCGCAGGUGCUGGUGUGCUCUCUGGAUACGACAAGCUCCAGUUACUUCUUCUUGGAAAGAAGUACGGAUCUGGAUCCGGUUAAGCAUACUAAUCCACCAAACAGUUAAAAAGCUUCGGCUUUAUUUUUAUUUUUCUCGAUUUAAUUUGCAGUUUUUUCAGACUUUUUUUAAAAAGGUCAAGAUGUUGAUGAAAUCUUUUGCUAUAAAAACUAGAGAGGAGGCAAGGGGAAUUUUUCUUAUUGAAUAAAUUUUGUAUGGGGAUGGAGUUUGACUCUCUCCUUGGAACCAAUUUUCGAUUGUGACUUUUGUUCUAUUAAGUUUAACCGGUUUUUAAUAUUUUGAGGAUAUCUUUUAACAUUAUUAUAUCAAGUUGAAACAUUCGGUUUCAUAUAUUUGAAGGUUCUGUAGUUUACUGAACUAAUCACGUCAUUAGACAUUGCAAUCACUAGUCUCUGUCGCUUGGUUCAUUACAAUGGGAAAAGUAUCGACUCUGCUUCUCUUUCUCUUGCCUUUCUGCUUCUUUCUUUUUACGUAUAAUCUCCUCAACCUUAUUAUCCACAAUAGAUCUGGUGUCAUUAAUUUAGAUGCAAGUCCACUUCUAGAUCCUCUGCCUCAUAGAAAGGCCAAAACCUCUUCACCAUUACUAUUUCAUGUUGCCGUAACAGCUUCAGAUUCUCUUUACAAUAAGUGGCAGUGUCGUAUAAUGUAUUAUUGGUACAAACAGAAGAAAGCUCUUCCCCGUUCAGACAUGGGAGGCUUCACUCGCAUUUUGCAUUCUGGUACAACCGAUAACUUGAUGGAUGAGAUACCAACAUUUGUCGUUGAUCCUCUUUCCCCAGGUCUUGAUCAGGUGAGACACUUUCUUUUCAUCUCGAGUUUUUGGUGCUAAUCUAAUAGUUUAAAUGUACUUAGGGGUAUGUUGUCUUAAAUAGACCGUGGGCAUUCGUGCAAUGGCUUGAAAGAGCUACCAUAAAGGAAGAGUUAAGUCCUGUCUCCUUUCCUACAAGACAACCAAAACACUGUUUGCUAAAAUCUCCUGCAUAUGUUGUUGGUGCAGCUAUGUCCUUAUGGCAGAGCCUGAUCAUAUAUUUGUUAACCCUCUUCCCAAUUUGGCUGUUGGAGGAUCACCAGCAGCUUUUCCGUUUUUCUAUAUCACACCUCAAAAGUUCAAGAACAUAGUUAGAAAGUAUUAUCCAGUGGAGAUGGGACCUGUGACAAAUAUUGUCACCUUUUUUUUUAAUUACUGGAUGAUGUUUUGAGUUAUUGAUGUAUUGUUUACUUUUCUAGGCAUUGAACUUUGCAUUCAAAGAUUACUUCAAGAGGCUUUUCAACUUCAAGAAGGACAGGGAUGGUUACUGGAAGUGGUUUGCUGGUAACUUGGGAUCUGGAGGUGCUGCUGGUGCUUCUUCCCUUCUCUUUGUGUACUCUCUUGACUAUGCACGUACCCGUCUCGCCAAUGACUCCAAGGCAGCCAAGAAAGGAGGUGAAAGGCAGUUCAAUGGUCUUGUCGAUGUCUACAAGAAGACUCUCAAGUCUGAUGGUAUUGCUGGGCUUUACCGUGGAUUCAACAUCUCCUGUGUUGGUAUCAUUGUCUACCGUGGUCUCUACUUUGGUCUGUACGACUCUUUGAAGCCUCUCCUCCCUGCUGACCUCCAGGUUUGUUUAUAUUACAGAUUUAGAAAUCCGAAUCCUGUCUUGCCUUGUUUGUGUCUGAUGUUUAUAUCUGUCUUUCCGUUUUGGGAAAUUUCAGGACAGUUUCUUCGCUUCCUUUGCCCUUGGAUGGCUCAUCACCAACGGUGCUGGUCUUGCAUCUUACCCAAUCGACACAGUCCGUAGAAGAAUGAUGAUGACCUCCGGUGAAGCCGUGAAGUACAAGAGCUCCAUGGAUGCAUUCCAACAGAUCCUGAAGAAGGAAGGACCCAAGUCUCUGUUCAAGGGUGCUGGUGCCAACAUCCUUCGUGCUAUCGCAGGUGCUGGUGUGCUCUCUGGAUACGACAAGCUCCAGUUACUUCUUCUUGGAAAGAAGUACGGAUCUGGAUCCGGUUAAGCAUACUAAUCCACCAAACAGUUAAAAAGCUUCGGCUUUAUUUUUAUUUUUCUCGAUUUAAUUUGCAGUUUUUUCAGACUUUUUUUAAAAAGGUCAAGAUGUUGAUGAAAUCUUUUGCUAUAAAAACUAGAGAGGAGGCAAGGGGAAUUUUUCUUAUUGAAUAAAUUUUGUAUGGGGAUGGAGUUUGACUCUCUCCUUGGAACCAAUUUUCGAUUGUGACUUUUGUUCUAUUAAGUUUAACCGGUUUUUAAUAUUUUGAGGAUAUCUUUUAACAUUAUUAUAUCAAGUUGAAACAUUCGGUUUCAUAUAUUUGAAGGUUCUGUAGUUUACUGAACUAAUCACGUCAUUAGACAUUGCAAUCACUAGUCUCUGUCGCUUGGUUCAUUACAAUGGGAAAAGUAUCGACUCUGCUUCUCUUUCUCUUGCCUUUCUGCUUCUUUCUUUUUACGUAUAAUCUCCUCAACCUUAUUAUCCACAAUAGAUCUGGUGUCAUUAAUUUAGAUGCAAGUCCACUUCUAGAUCCUCUGCCUCAUAGAAAGGCCAAAACCUCUUCACCAUUACUAUUUCAUGUUGCCGUAACAGCUUCAGAUUCUCUUUACAAUAAGUGGCAGUGUCGUAUAAUGUAUUAUUGGUACAAACAGAAGAAAGCUCUUCCCCGUUCAGACAUGGGAGGCUUCACUCGCAUUUUGCAUUCUGGUACAACCGAUAACUUGAUGGAUGAGAUACCAACAUUUGUCGUUGAUCCUCUUUCCCCAGGUCUUGAUCAGGUGAGACACUUUCUUUUCAUCUCGAGUUUUUGGUGCUAAUCUAAUAGUUUAAAUGUACUUAGGGGUAUGUUGUCUUAAAUAGACCGUGGGCAUUCGUGCAAUGGCUUGAAAGAGCUACCAUAAAGGAAGAGUUAAGUCCUGUCUCCUUUCCUACAAGACAACCAAAACACUGUUUGCUAAAAUCUCCUGCAUAUGUUGUUGGUGCAGCUAUGUCCUUAUGGCAGAGCCUGAUCAUAUAUUUGUUAACCCUCUUCCCAAUUUGGCUGUUGGAGGAUCACCAGCAGCUUUUCCGUUUUUCUAUAUCACACCUCAAAAGUUCAAGAACAUAGUUAGAAAGUAUUAUCCAGUGGAGAUGGGACCUGUGACAAAUAUUGAUCCCAUUGGCAGUUCUCCUGUUAUCAUAAGCAAGGUGAGAUUUGAUUCUCUGUGCUUUAUGUAUUAAACUUUAUGCUGAUAUGCAUUUACUUUCUUAUGCAGAAAUCACUUGAGAAGAUUACUCCUACAUGGAUGAAUAUCUCCCUGACAAUGAAACAUGAUCCAGACACUGAUAAGGCAUUUGGAUGGGUUCUAGAAAUGUUAGCACUGGAAACAAACAUCUGUAUUCAUAUAUCUUAGUUCCAUGACUUUUCAUUGUUUUUGCUGACACAGUCUCUUUUAUGUUUUGAUAAGGUACGGUUACGCAAUUGCAUCUGCUCUGCAUGGGGUGCGGCACAUGCUAAGGAGGGAUCUCAUGCUUCAGGUAGGAAUCAACCAUCUGCUGAGUAACGUUAAUGAUAUUCUUUUCAAUGUCUUUGUUCUGUGUUACUAAGGGAUCUCAUCUUAUCUUUUAGCCUCCAUGGGAUUUGUCUACCAAGGCGAUGUUUAUUAUCCACUACACUUAGGCAUGCGAUUACAACAUGAAGGUGAUUUUUCCUUCAUUUUAUUCUUUGCAGAUUAUACAUCUUGGCUAUCACUACUUGUGCAAUCUUGUGGUCAUUCGUUGUUGCUUAGUAUGUUUAACUUUUUGUAGUACAAGUUCUUGAAACUACUAAGUUUUGUUUUAAACCUUGUACAUGGUCCUUAACGUAGGAUUUUUAAAUACAGGGUGAGCUGACAUAUGGCAAAAUAGGAGAGUGGCGAUUUGAUAAGAGAUUAUAUCUGAGAGGUCCCCCUCCGAGGAACAUCUCUAUGCCGCCUCCCGGUGUUCCAGAGAGUGUGGUAUGUUAUAUACUUACCACUUAAUGUAAUCCUAUUAUAAAACAAAAAUACUGAUCUAAGGUCCAUCCAUAGCUCAUAAGGGAACUUACUCGCAUCCUAUCCAUUGAGACUAUAUAGACCAAUAACAAGUCUGAUUGGGUUAGUUUCCAAUAUCUAUAGGAGUUACAGUGUUUCAGGGAUGCCACUUGUGGUCAAUCAUUGGCAAGAAGUGUGUUAGUUAGAAGCCAAACUGUAUAUAACUUGCCUAAAAACUAUUUUGUGUUUGUGGUGGUGGUGAUGCAGGUGACUCUUGUGAAGAUGUUGAACGAAGCUACAUCAAAUAUCCCUAACUGGGACACUCUCUAACUCACAUCCACUAGACACAAACCAUAGCAAGGACUACUAAUUCAUACAUCAUAUUUUGCCAAAUGAACAGUUUACUUUCUUUUUUUUUACUUUCAGUUUAACAAUGACUAUGGUGUGAGAUAAUGUUCAAGAAGUGGUUAGGUGAUAGUAAAAUGAUAUUAGCAUAGAUGGUGAAGAUUACUGAUGAGUAUUGAGUAACGUGAUGAAGCGGCGGUACUAUACUCCAUAACCGGACCAGAUAAAAAAUACUCCACAACCAGCCCAGACCAAAAAAUUACUUCAUAACCAGACCAGACCAAACAAAUACUUUAUAACCAGAGCAGACCAAAGAAACCAGACGGUGAUGGUCCUGUCUAAAAGACAAACGGUUCCAACUAGACGGAGUUAAUAGUUCCGUCAACCAAACCUAUUUAUCCAUGAAUUAAUAAAUUAAAAUAUAUUAAAAAAGGAAGACAGAGAGACUGUUUGAAGUGAUCUAUCUCCUUCCUCAACCUCAGACACAGUUCUCCUCUAUCUUCUCAGAGCAAAAAUGGAGGUCGCUCUUCUCUCAUUCUCCUCUUCCAUCUCUCCUCUCUCCCACAACCGAGCCUUAACCCUAUCUCCCAAACUCUCCAAACCCUCCAACUACCCUCGCCUCCCAGUCAUCAGAUCCGCCGUGUCACGCUCCAAGAAGGAAGAAACCGUCGAGACAGUCAAGUCCCAUCUCGAGAACUGCCACCUCCUCGCCGCCAUCAACUACAAAGGCCUCACCGUCAAGCAGUUCCAAGACCUCCGCAGAACUCUCCCAGAAACAACAAAGCUCGUCGUCGCCAAGAACACACUCGUCUUCAAAGCCAUCGAAGGCACCAAAUGGGAAGCUCUCAAGCCUUGUAUGAAAGGCAUGAACGCUUGGCUCUUCGUUCAGACCGAUGAGAUCCCUUCCGCCAUCAAACCGUACCGGAGCUUCCAGAAGGAACGCAAGCUCGAAGACAAUGACUUCGCCGGUGCUGUCUUCGAAGGUAAGUUCUACGCUCCAGACAACUUCAAGGCCCUUGAGACGAUGCCUACACGAGCUGAGGUUUACGCUAAGAUGCUAGGAGCUCUCCAGAGUCCGGCGAUUAAUCUCGUCUCUACUUUACAAGCACCGGCGAUCGAGGUUAUCAUGGUGCUUAAGGCUUAUGUCAAGAAGCUAGAAGAUGAGAGUAACAAUGCAUAAUUAGUUAAAAGCAAUUCACUUUCUUGUUUAUGACUAAAGCAGCAAGCAAUUGUUUAUUACAGUUUUAUUAUUGAAAUGUUUUUUUUUAAAAGAUGGGUCUUUGUUUAGAUGUACUUAGAGAGGAUAGACUCAACUACUCCCUGAGCUAUGGGGUGGUAAGUCUCUCGUGCUUCUGCAAACACCUGUUUCGCCAGCUGCUUCUCUUCUGUUCCACCUGAUUGUGCAAGAGCGUUGAAGAGUGGACGCAGGUACUUCAUCCUUCCCACGGUUUUUAGAGUUUUCUCCACUUCUCCAUGGUACUCUCUGCACUUGGACGAGAUUGCAACUUGUAGAAACGACACCUUCACUUCGUAGUCCUUUGAUUCUGCUAGUCUGUAGCGCUUGUCCAACGCUAUGACCUGAUUCACCAAUAAGCAAACAAACAUUCAAUCUCCCAACACCUCCACAAAUUGUUUCCCCUCUACUUGUGCACUGAUCCAAGACUAACUAUUGAGCUAAACAAACAGCUUCCCAUUAUCUUAGAGUAAGUACCUGAGAAGGUUCACAUGAUUUAGGAAGAUUCUCCAAGUAGAGCUCCCAUUCCUGACCCUUCCACUCAGCAACCUCAUCCUCACUUGGCAUCUUUCCUUGCUUAAACUCUUCUGCCAACGAUAUGAUCUUUGUGUAAAUGGUUGAGACUGGUUCAUAUGCAUCUUCCGGUAUACCAACGCCUUCAGUCCACAGCUCUAGGUUGAUCUCUUUCUCUAUCCCAGGGAUGUUCGCUUUCAAGAAAUCAAGAAACGUAUCUGUAUCAAUCGACUUGAACUUGAACGUAGCAAUGUAUUUCUUGAGGAACUCGUCGAAAGCAGUCCUCCCAACCUGAAAGUUUCCCCAUACAUAAAAUUACAUUAGAAAAGCACUUAAGUGGAUCAAGUUAGGGACUCAAAACUAACCUGACGUUCGAUUCUCAACACAAACUGGAACCCUUUUUCGUAAGGAACCUGAGAGUAAACAUCAUCUGGAUCAACACCUUGUUGAUUAUUCUUGAGCUUAGUGCACUCCAAAUUGUCUUUAAAACGUUCCAUCUCAUCUUUUAGACCUCUCCAGCCAAUCCCCAUGUUCAAAGUAGCUAUAUCCGCUCCUUGAACAACCUCCACAAUCCUCCUCUCUGCGUAAGUUGUAAACCCCUAUCGCCAUAAACACAUGAACAAAUAAACUCUUACCCAUCAACAAAGUCAUGAACUUUAAGGUAGAGUAGCUUAUGCAGUCAAUCAAAAACACAUAAAGUUAACUUUUUACCCAUCAACAAAGCAAACACUAAUCAUACUCUUAAUCCAUAUCCCCUGAACCAAACUCUUAAUCGUUCUUAUUCCUGUUUGCAACUAAAAGAAGCAAAAGCAACGAACAGUCCAAAGCUAUAAAAACAUAUAUAAAGUUAGCUUCUUUCCCAUCAACAAGGCAAACACUAAUCAUACUCUUAAUCCAUAUCCCCCUGAACCAAACUCUUAAUCGUUUGUAUCCCUGCUUGUAGCUAAAGGAAGCAAAAACACCAGAACAAUCCAACGCUAACUAACUAACACAUCUAUUCAUCUUCAAGAGCUGUGAUCAUAAACAUACCUCUAUUGACAUAAACAUAUAAAUUUUGCUUCUUUCUCAUUAACAAGGCAAACACUAAUCAUACUCUUAACCCACAUCCCCUGAACCAUACUCUUAACCGCUAACUAACUAACUAACUAACACAUCUACUCAUCUUCAAUAACACACCUCAUUCAACCAGAAAUGCUCGUUGUUAACGUUAGUAAUCAAGUUCCCAGUCCAGCUAUGCGCAAGCUCAUGAGCCACAACCUGACCCCCAGAGGCAUCCCCUUUAAUCACAGUAGGCGUCAAAAACACCAUCCUCGGAUUCUCCAUCCCACCAUAAGGAAAACUCGGAGGCAACACAAGCAAAUCAAACCUCUCCCAAUCAUACUCCCCAAAAAGCUUCUCCCCUUGCCUAAUCAUCUCCUCAGCCCCAGCAAACUCCACCUCAGCCGCAUCAAGAACCUCCACGUCAGCAGACUCCGCGUACACCCUCGUCCUGGGCCCCACUUCUCGAAACCCCAACUCCCCAACCGCAAACGCGAACAGAUACGGAGGAAUCGGCUGCUCCAUAACAAACUCUUCCACGACUCUAUCCUCCGCGCACCAGCAUAAAGAGGAGUCGAGAUGGGUUGCUUCCUCGGGGAGAGGGAGCCUCCGACGCACGUGACGAGCAGACAUAACGGCGGAGAGAGAGGCGGGAAUGUUCAUAACGACGUCGUAGCGGAUACGACGAGCGGGGGUGUCUUGGCAGGGGAAGAUGGAUCUGGCGUGGAUGGCUUGGCACUGUGUGUAGACGUAAGGGUGGGUUUUGGAGAAGGUCUGAGGCGGGGAGAGCCAUUGGAGAGCGGAGGCGGCGGGGGAGGUUGAGUAGAUGAGCAAGAUUUGGGAUUGGCCGGAGAGGACGACGGAGAUCUCGGUGCCGCGGAUUGGAUCGGGGGUUGGGGAGAGGGAGUGAGGGAGAGGGUGGAGGGUUUGGGGGUCGAGGAUGGAGGAGAGGGAGAGGGAGCGGGAGUCGAGGGAGAGGGUGCCGGAGAAGGGGGAGGAGAGGGUGAGGAGAGCGGAGGCGUGGAUGGUGGAGGUGGGGAAGGAGAGGUAGAGGGAGAGGGACACGUGGGUUGUUAGAGGGUGGGUGGAGUCGGUGAAGGAGUGUGGGUCUAUGGGUGCCAUUGGAGGAGACGACAAGUUUCGAUUUUUUUUUGACGGUGAGGGUUCCGAUCAGAGACGGAGUGAUGAAGGAGAGAGAGUAUAAAGCGGGAGAAAAUAGUACUCCCUCCGUUUUUUAUUAUAAGUCGUUUUAGAGAAACUUUUUUGUUCCAAAUUAUAUGUCGUUUUCAAUUUUCUAUGUAAAAUUUAUUAAUAAUUAAUGUUAUAUGACCAAUGGUAAUAUAUCUUAUAUUUUUUUAUUGGUUGAAUUGUGGUUAGGUAAAUAAUUAAUGAUGUUUUUGUUUAGAAAAUAUAAGAAAUUAAUGGUUUUCUUAAUCUACGUGUAUAGCUAUAAAACGACUUAUAUUAAAAAACGGAGGGAGUAUUAAACAAAUAAUUUAAUUAGAGGAAUCAUUUGUUUGGUAAUGGAGAAUAUCAUUUAAUUACAAUUAGGAAUAAUAUUUUUGCUGACUUUCUGUUCCAUGGAAAUACAGAAGUGAAGAAGAAGCAUUCUCCAAGUUAUGGUUGUUGUGAAUCAAAACGAGAAGACACUAAAGAUUAGUUACAGAGUUGGAGUAUAUGUUUGAUGAUCACUGCAGGCAGCAAUCAGGAGCACACAACAUAAACAUAGCCACGCAAUAGUUGAAAGACAAAAGAAAGUUGAAAGCAUCCUUUGGUGAACACAUGUUUAUAUACCUAGGGCUGGUCGUUUUAUCUGUUAAAUCUGAUUGUCUUGGAAGCAAAGCAAAUACAAAAAAUUAAUAUCCGUUAAAAACGAAGUAAAUUAUAAAUACUAAAAAAAAAUUCUGUGGAGAAAAGGCAGGCCAUGGAUUGGUGAUCCUGUUGAUGUAGUUCUUGAUGAACCUUUAGGCUGAAUCACCAAGUGUACGAUUAUGUUUUGAAGAUUGAUCAUUAGCUCUUGUCCCAACACAGGUGAUCUAUCACUCACUUUGUCAUCUCAUGAUGAUUUAUGAAUACUUUUGCUAGUAAACUAUAGAGAUGUAGGAGAUAUUUAGGGUUGUAUAAUCUGUUAUGUUUAGCCACCAAUUUCAAGUGACAUCUCCUUUUGUUUCUGUCAUGAUAUUUCAUUUCCAGGCAGUAUUUGCGCACUGGAAAAUUGUUGUUUGGGAUUUGAUCUCAAAUGGUUUUGUUGUCGGAACAAAACAUAUCCAAUGACUAUAAAUAUGCUAUAACUAUAAAUUGUUAUAAAACAUAUGUAAUGGCUUUAUAAAUGACUUCAUAAAUUGUUACAAACAAAAAAAUUUCAGUUUUUCAAAAUCUUGUGGCAGCUUCAAAAGUGUAUGAAAGCUUCCAAAAGGUUUUUAAAUUCUUUACUAGUCUUUCCAAAAUAUGAGAACUUUCAGAAGUUUCCAGCAUUUUCAACAAUGUUUUCUACUCAGCACUACAAACACAUGACGAGCCUAGCAAGUGAGUGCUUUCAGUUUAUUCAGAGUAGGCAUACAACAAGCAGUUACCAUACAGAUUAGCAAAGGAGCUUGGGAGUUAACGACCAAAGAAGGUAAAGAGAAAAACAUAAAAGUGUAUGUGAGCACGCGUGUGAUGGUCAUAUUAUUCUGAGUUUCUGGACUAUUACUACUACUGUACUAUUGAAGUUCUUUCUCAAGUUCAUCGAACUCCCAUCCAUCAACCUCAUCUGCAGAGUAAUCACGACCCACCUUCCCAAAUUCAGAUUCUAGCUCGGCUAGUUCAGAUUCAGGGUUCAAUUCCUGACUGGAACCAGUAGCAGUAGUAGUCGGUGAUGCCUCGGUAGGAUUUCUCACCUCUGGCUUUUGGGUCAGAGACUUAACUGGAGCAUCCAUGCUACUACUGCUGGGCAUAAGAGAUUUGGGUGAUGCAGCAGCACUGCUUUUAGGUGAUGGAGUUUCUAUCUCUAAUAUUGGCCUUGCAAUGGAUUCAAACUCCUGCCUCAUUUUCUCCAUGUCAUCAAAGAGCUCUUUCACACGCCGGUCUUCCUUCCUGGUAUAAUUAUACGAGUUCAGAAACUUGGCGAUAAUAAAAUUCUACCGAUCAAUAAAGAGUCAAGAGAGUAAUGUUUACUACUCACUUUUCCAGUUUGCUUUGGAGGACUUGGAAAUGCUCUUUCAUGUUAUCCACAAUGCUGAAAGUGGUAAUGAUCUGAUUUUAUACAAAACCAGAUUAGUCACUAGGAAGAGCAAUGAAAAAAAUCAAUAGUGCAAAUCUUACCUUAGUCUCAUAGUCUAGAUACUCCUGCUCUAGACUCUUCCUUGGGCUUGAAACCUGAUUCUCCCCCUCAUCUGCAUUUGGUGGCAUCUCUGACCUGUCACCACCAUAUGCAAAAACUGUAUGUAUUAAGCCAGAAACGAAGCAAUCUAAUUCAACAAGAGGCAUUUACCCAGGACCAAGAUUCUUCAGGUUUUCCACAUAAUUCUCUAUACGGCUUAUCAAAGGUGCCACCUCCUUCUGUUACAAUAUAAAGUUCUGUGUUAGCUCUGUCAUUUACCAACUACUAGUUAAAAUUUCCAUAAACACAAAGAGCUUACCUUGUACGUAGAGAGUAUAUUAAAAGCCACAUCGGAAAAGUAAUCCUCAUGCUUCUCCAACUCAUCCCUACGACAUGCAUCCACUAUUAUUAUCCCUUGUGGUUAAGCAGCAGAGAAAAAAAUAUAUAGCGAGAAAGAGCUGAGAGUUUGAUAGAAAUACAAAGUCUGCUUAUCCUUCUUUUCGGUAUAAGAGCAUUGAUGAAGCCAUGUAUCCUCGAGGAAACUAAUCCAGGUCUUGAUAACUUCUGACUCUUUCUUACAAGCUACAAUUGAUUUGGACAGGUCAUCCUCCUGCAUGCAGAAUCAAAUUAUUUCAUGCGGAAAUUAUUUGACCACGAGAGCUACUCAUCUUAGAGGAAAAUGCCAACCUUUGUUUUCAGGUGAGCGAUUAUCUGAUCGUUGGCUUCACCAAAUUGAUCCCUCUCUUCUGUCGCAUCACGGAACCGAGCUUGAGCAGCAGCUAAUGAUAUAUUGACCUAUAUGGAAAGAAUAUUCAUUUUCAUACCUUCCAUACCACAAUAAACAUAUGCUCAAAUCAAAUAGAAGUGCUUUACAUACCCUCUUCAGUUCAGCUUCCAACUCAUCUCUUUGUUUCACAAGCUGUGCAAUUUCCUCAGCCAAUUCCUGUACAUAAUAAAUAAUAAGAAAGAAUCUCAAUACUUACAGCUGAUGAACAUACAGAAGAAUGCUGUUUUAUCUUGAAUUGAAUAACCAAAAGAACAAAUAAAAGAGGGGGAGACAGAACCUUUUCCUUUUCACCAGUUUCAUUUGCUUUCACCACACGAGCUUUAAGCGCCUCUUCUUUCUGAAGCCUGCGAAGAGACAAUUGGUAUCUAUUAAUGGCGUUUUCCUUCAAGGCAAGCUUUGAUGAAAAUCAAAAUUAAUUAAACAACAGCAAGUAAGUCUUAACUGCAGAUAUGAAGAUAAGCUUUUACCUGUUCUCUGAUAUUCGUUUCUCGGCUUUGGUAGUUGAAUUUGCUAAAGAUUCCAAUAACACCUUCAGCUUGUCGACCUUGUUCAAAGACAAAUUAUUCAUUAUCUUCCAUGCUUAUCAUUCUCUCUAACAUCUAGACUAGAAGUCAUGAGUGGGGCAAGAUGAUAAUUAACAAUACUAAUCAACUUGUAUAGAGAUAAUGAUUUGAGGAUAAUAAAGCCCACAAACUUACUUUCUGAGCAUGUAUAUCUGGUGAAUCACCGUUGCUUAGUUGUCUCUUUCUAAUUAGAAGCCCUUCUAUUCUGGAGCAAAGACGAAUCUUUGCAAGCGUUUGUUUAAGAGCCUGCAAAACAAGAAGUCUUAUCACAUGGAGCUACCUAAACGAUCUUAGGGGGAGAAAAUUGUACACUCACCUCUAUUGUUAAAGGAGCCUCUUUAACUUCCUUGUCUUCACUCUCCUGUGGAGUCUCAAAAACUUUCAUCUUUUCGAGUUUUUCUCUAAGAUCGGAAGCUUCAUCAUCAAUCCUGAAAAGAAGUAUUCAAUCAACAGUGAUGAACGAUGAGUAAGGCUCUAAACGAGAGCAAGAAGAACAUUAACAUCUUCAUUUAUCACCUCAGUAUUUCAGCACUAAUCUUCAACCCAGUGAUAGCAUUUUGGGCGAACUGAAGCAAUUCGUCCUGCUUGACCUGAACAUUGAAGAGUAAACAAGUUAGGAGGAGAUCCAAACGCAUAAAUGCUGAAUUUUAUUGCUCAAGCGCGUACCAAAACUUCAUCCUUGUAACUUGAAAAGACUGUAGAAAGAUCCUGCAUACUGCUGACAAUGGCAUCAUGAACUUCCUUUCCUCCAUUUAGACAAAUCCUGAGAACAAUGUUAUGAACGAAGUGUGUCAAUUUUCCAAAGAAAAAAAAAAAGGAAGUUUAGACUUUCUUUUAAAGCGAAAUUUUCGCAAAGCAAUUUGGUGGUUCAGCUCACCCAAACAUCUCCCGGAGUAGAGAAACUUCUUCAUCAUGUGGUGGUUCAAUAAUCUGUAAUAGAACAGUCAAACAUAGAGUUAACACUCAUAGACAGUACCAUUUUUUUCACAUAGCCCAAAAAAUAUAGGAACAAUACAAUAUUCAAAAGAUUAUGAGAAACAAGACAAAAUACAAGCUCUCACAACAUAAUAAGAGUCUACUUAAUCUGGUUUGUUCUUUAAUUUAUUUUAAGCCAAGAAAUAUAUUGUCUUCACUCUUUAACACUAAGAAAUCAAAUCAACAAUAAUGCAUCUCAAGCCUUUUGGUGGCGUUCCAAACUCUUGGAAACUUUAGAGAAUGGGGAUCGUUUGUUAUCAUCACUUAUAUCAGGUAGCCACCAAAAGUAAGUUUGGGUAGCGAAAGAAAUACCAUGGACAGGACGAUGCCCUCCAGAGCUUGACUUUGCAGGAAAACAUCGCGGAAGUUUAGUGGCUCACCUCCUAUAUCUGGAUCGUAAUACAAAACCUACACAUGGAAAGGGAUCUUCUGUUGGAAAAAGAGUCACAAAUACAGCAUAUAAAACUAAAGUCACUUAUAAUCGAACCCUUUAAUGAAAUAAAUCACCAUAAAUCACUAAAAAUAACAAUCAUAGUUAGAUGAUAUAUGAUGACAUCUUCGUUUCAAAGUUUGUCUUUUCCACUUAAUACCAAAAAGGGGAACAAAAAGAAUACCCAUUCACGCCUCUUUGCUUCAUCAGAAUCAAGUCGUUCCUCAGAACUCAUAUCUUUAUCCUUGACAGAGGUUCCACUAGCUCUAUCAAUCUCCUUAAGGACAGUUAGCCAUCUGGUGAUCAGCAAUGCCCUUUCAUGACCUCUGCAUGAGACUGCAGCUUCUUCCAGUCUCUGAAUCGUCUGAUUCACACUCUUAUAGGCCCCAACACCCUGCAAAUGAAAGAUAGAACAUUUAUAGAGCACAGUGUUCAAAUGAGUGCACUAUCACAGCAAAAUCAAAACUUGAAUCCAGAAAAGAAUAGAACUUUGCAAAGGGAAAUGAAUUUAAAAAAAGAAAAGGAAAGUGGAGAAAUUUUACAAUGCGGUCUUGGAACAAUUUGGCUCCUUCAGCAACGGCUUGACCAGCCUGCUGGACAACGGAGUCGGCAUAGUUCUUGACCUCCACCGCCUUACUCACAGCCGUUCGCAGCCACGACAUGUUUCUCGUCUAUCUUACUGGUUUACUACGGAAAGCAAUCUUCUUCUGGAGGAAGCUCGGACACAGUCAAUGUUUUUACUCGGUGGCGAUUGCUUGUAUUUUGCAAACCCACGACUAUAAACUAUUCAUUCUUUUUCUUAGAGGUGACCAUUUCGGUUUAAAUCGGUUUAGUUUGUCUAGGUCAAUCAAACUUUAAUUGAUUCUUUGGUUUGGUUUGGUUUGUAUCUAAUUUAGUUUGGUUUGAAUUUCAUUUAGUUUGUGUUGGAAUCGAUUUGAUUUGAUUUUGUUUGUGUUUGUUCAGUUCUAUUAAAUUAGUUUUUAAAAAUUUAUAAUUUAGUUAUGAAAUAUAAUUUGUAAAACAUAAAACAAAUUUUAUUCGACACUAUUUUUUUUUACAUUUAAAUAUAAAGUCAACCAUAAUGAUAAAAGUUUUAAAAAUAUAUCUAAUAAUCUAUACUAUUAUUUGCGAAGUAAAUUUUAGCAACAGAGCUUCCACAUUAAAAGUUAGAGUGGUUAAUAUCGACUAUACCCUUAAUAAAUUAAAUAUAUAAAUUAAUAAAAAAUAAAAACGAAUUUGCUUUUUUAAUAAUAUAAGUGAUUAAAACUAAUAAUAAUAAGAAUUAUCUAAAAUCUAAAAAUAUAUAUUUAUUAUAAAAAGAUAAUUCCUAUAUAUAUUAUAACAAGAUAAUUCUUAUUAUAUUGUGUUGUUAUCUUAUAUAUUGUAUUGUUAUCUUUAAAUAAUAUUUUUUAACUAUAAAAAUUGAAAUUUAAGAUAUGAAAUUAUUUAUAAUUAAAUAUUAAUCAAAAAACAUAUGUAUAAAUAAAAAAANNNNNNNNNNNNNNNNNNNNNNNNNNNNNNNNNNNNNNNNNNNNNNNNNNNNNNNNNNNNNNNNNNNNNNNNNNNNNNNNNNNNNNNNNNNNNNNNNNNNNNNNNNNNNNNNNNNNNNNNNNNNNNNNNNNNNNNNNNNNNNNNNNNNNNNNNNNNNNNNNNNNNNNNNNNNNNNNNNNNNNNNNNNNNNNNNNNNNNNNNNNNNNNNNNNNNNNNNNNNNNNNNNNNNNNNNNNNNNNNNNNNNNNNNNNNNNNNNNNNNNNNNNNNNNNNNNNNNNNNNNNNNNNNNNNNNNNNNNNNNNNNNNNNNNNNNNNNNNNNNNNNNNNNNNNNNNNNNNNNNNNNNNNNNNNNNNNNNNNNNNNNNNNNNNNNNNNNNNNNNNNNNNNNNNNNNNNNNNNNNNNNNNNNNNNNNNNNNNNNNNNNNNNNNNNNNNNNNNNNNNNNNNNNNNNNNNNNNNNNNNNNNNNNNNNNNNNNNNNNNNNNNNNNNNNNNNNNNNNNNNNNNNNNNNNNNNNNNNNNNNNNNNNNNNNNNNNNNNNNNNNNNNNNNNNNNNNNNNNNNNNNNNNNNNNNNNNNNNNNNNNNNNNNNNNNNNNNNNNNNNNNNNNNNNNNNNNNNNNNNNNNNNNNNNNNNNNNNNNNNNNNNNNNNNNNNNNNNNNNNNNNNNNNNNNNNNNNNNNNNNNNNNNNNNNNNNNNNNNNNNNNNNNNNNNNNNNNNNNNNNNNNNNNNNNNNNNNNNNNNNNNNNNNNNNNNNNNNNNNNNNNNNNNNNNNNNNNNNNNNNNNNNNNNNNNNNNNNNNNNNNNNNNNNNNNNNNNNNNNNNNNNNNNNNNNNNNNNNNNNNNNNNNNNNNNNNNNNNNNNNNNNNNNNNNNNNNNNNNNNNNNNNNNNNNNNNNNNNNNNNNNNNNNNNNNNNNNNNNNNNNNNNNNNNNNNNNNNNNNNNNNNNNNNNNNNNNNNNNNNNNNNNNNNNNNNNNNNNNNNNNNNNNNNNNNNNNNNNNNNNNNNNNNNNNNNNNNNNNNNNNNNNNNNNNNNNNNNNNNNNNNNNNNNNNNNNNNNNNNNNNNNNNNNNNNNNNNNNNNNNNNNNNNNNNNNNNNNNNNNNNNNNNNNNNNNNNNNNNNNNNNNNNNNNNNNNNNNNNNNNNNNNNNNNNNNNNNNNNNNNNNNNNNNNNNNNNNNNNNNNNNNNNNNNNNNNNNNNNNNNNNNNNNNNNNNNNNNNNNNNNNNNNNNNNNNNNNNNNNNNNNNNNNNNNNNNNNNNNNNNNNNNNNNNNNNNNNNNNNNNNNNNNNNNNNNNNNNNNNNNNNNNNNNNNNNNNNNNNNNNNNNNNNNNNNNNNNNNNNNNNNNNNNNNNNNNNNNNNNNNNNNNNNNNNNNNNNNNNNNNNNNNNNNNNNNNNNNNNNNNNNNNNNNNNNNNNNNNNNNNNNNNNNNNNNNNNNNNNNNNNNNNNNNNNNNNNNNNNNNNNNNNNNNNNNNNNNNNNNNNNNNNNNNNNNNNNNNNNNNNNNNNNNNNNNNNNNNNNNNNNNNNNNNNNNNNNNNNNNNNNNNNNNNNNNNNNNNNNNNNNNNNNNNNNNNNNNNNNNNNNNNNNNNNNNNNNNNNNNNNNNNNNNNNNNNNNNNNNNNNNNNNNNNNNNNNNNNNNNNNNNNNNNNNNNNNNNNNNNNNNNNNNNNNNNAUCCUGUAGUGUCUCAACCGGGUCGCCAAUCCGACCCACGAGCCUCUGCCGCGAAGCAUCCUAAUUUCUCCCCGGCGACUACAGCUCCACUACGACGACUCUGCAACUCGAAUAGAACCGGGUCUCAAGUCACGGGUUGAUUCACUUAUACCAACCGGUUCCGAUACGAUUUUUAAAAAUAUAAACCGGUUAGAUCUUAAUGAAGCUGUGAUCUGGGAUCUAAUCAAAACCAGUAUCUUUGUCAAUAUUUUUUUCCAAUAGUCUCUUUCACUUUGCCUUGUUUUUUCCAGCUUUGGUGACUGUUUGUUAGCUAUGAUGUGGACCUCUUUUUAUCAAAUUAUUUUUCUAACUAUUAAUUUUAAACUUUUAUAUUAUGAUGCCUUAGGGAAACGUAUUAUCUUGGAUUUAACCAAGGCAAAUUAGUGGCAUGCCUCAACACAUUUCAUUUUUUUUUGCAAGAUAGAGAAAAGUUGAACUUUUCAUACAUCACUUUGGUUUAGAGUAUUUAAAACAUCUUACAUUUUAUUAUAUAACUUUAUAUACUUAAAAGAAUAUGGUUUGCUUCAGAAAAUAGCAAAUGCUUUAAACAGAAAAUUGAUUGCCUAAAGAAUAUAAAGAAAAGGAAGAUUAUUGGUUUUGGUGGAUAAAUACACAUAGAUUCAUGAUUAGGAGUAUCAUUUAUUUUUCCACAAAUCGUUUAUUUGUGUACUAUCACAUACUUUUGCACCAUAAUUAGCCGCACUACUUAAUUUAAAAUGAUUACUCAAUUUCAAGUCAAUUUGAAAGGAAAAAAAAGGGUGGUCUCUAGACAAAAGUUGAGCCAAAGAUAACGAAUAUUAAGCUUUAUAUUGGACCCCAUAAUAGACUGUAAAUUAUUAAAGCAUCAUACCGCCAAAUAUUAAUUUAGGUUUUUUAGGCAAACCAUUAAAUAAAACGAUUCUGGUAACUGAGCCGUAUAUGUAUUUAAUAUGAAAUAAAUAAUCAUAACAUGGCAAGGGAAAAUAAAGUAAAUAACAAUAAACAAAACGUAUUCAUUUAUGGAAGUAAAUAUGAUUAGGCAUUGUUUAAUCAAUAAUCUCAAGACUAAUUAAUAAUGCUCCUUCUCCUUCCUUUAACUUCUUAAUCGAAAAGUGUAAACAUAAUUAGCAUUGGAAAUCUCAAAAGACGAGUCAUUGGCAUUUUGUGUAAUUACGUUAAAGUGGAAAGGGUAAAUAAAUUGUCAUCAACUCAGACAGUUUAUAUAGAACCAAGUCUUCUUCUUCCACCUCAAGAACUCCCGUCCGGCUGCUCUCUGCCGCCGGCAAUACUCUCUCUCUCCGGUGGUCAAAGAAGUUUGAGUAAUGGCGUUGAAUCUUUAGUGGUAAGCGUUAAACCUUGAAAAGAAAGAGAGGGAAGAAAUUGAAAAUGCUGUGCCGGAAAAACUCAAGCGUGGUGGAUAGAGGAAACGUUCCGGUUUAUCUCAAUGUCUACGAUCUAACUCCCAUCAAUGGCUAUGCUUACUGGUUUGGUCUUGGCGUUUACCAUUCUGGUGUUGAAGGUUAGUCUUUUUUUUGGUUCCUGAGUUUUAGAAUCUUUUUUAAACUUCAUCUUUAGAUCUAAAUAAUGCUCUUAAUAUUACAUAGAAUAUCAUUUUAGAUCGAAGUUUCUUGGGAUUUGAAGUUAAUUCGUCGUUUAAAUUCAAAAGAGUUAGGCUUUCAAUUUUCAAGAACUUGACUUUCGAAUUAUCUAAAAAUAUUAUUUGUUUUUUUUUUUUUGGGUAGUUCAUGGUAUAGAGUAUGCAUAUGGAGCUCACGAAUAUCCAAGUACGGGCAUUUUCGAAGGGGAACCGAAGCAAUGCGAAGGGUUUACGUUUAGGAAGUCGAUUUUGAUUGGUAAAACGGAUCUUGGGCCAUUGGAAGUGAGAGCUACGAUGGAGGAGCUUUCGGAGAUUUACAAAGGAAGCUCUUACAACCUCAUCACCAAGAACUGCAACCAUUUCUGCGACGAGAUUUGUAUUAAGUUAACCGGGAAUCCAAUUCCUAGUUGGGUUAACCGUCUUGCAAGAAUCGGUAAACUCUCUGGUAACACUCCCUUCAAAUCUUUACGGUUUAGUUUCUUUCUUACUGAAGACGUCAGUACAGUAGUGGCCUACUUUUAAAGUCUUAGCCUUUGGUUACAAUGUAGACUAAAAUAUGAACUAAGUUUUUGCUUGAAAUGUUCGAUCUUUAUGCUUAAGAUCCAAGUUUAGCUUCUGGGUUUAUUGAUAAAUACGUUUUCUGAUUGAUAAGAAGAGCUUGGAAGCUAAGACAUGACUUUGGGUUAGGCUUAAAGUUUCCAUUUUUAGGGAAAAGGACUCUGUUUUCUGUGCUCUGAAGUUGAAUUGCUCUGUUUUAAAAUGGUAGGAUUCAUGUGCAACUGUGUGCUUCCUGCGACCAUAAACGCGACCAAGCUCGGGAAUAACAGAAUCAACCAAGACAAAUCAUGUGAAGCAGAGACUGAGAAGAAGAAACUGACGGGUGGAUCAAGCAGAGAGAGCUCUACGACGAUUGAUACUCCUUCGUCAUCAUCUUCGUCUCCUUCAGUUCAAGUUCGUGGUCGAAGCAGGAAAAGGCGUCCUCGUGCUAUGCAUCCUUCAUCGCCAGUGAUUCUUGGAUCUUCAACCGUUUGAUUUGCUUUCUUUGUUAAACAAAAUCUUCUCUGUUUUUUUCUUUCACCUAAUUGCGAUUGUGCUUUGUAAUCUUGUUAAUAUGCAAAGAACCCUUAUUUUUCUGUAAUCUUAUUUACACUUUCAGUUUUUGGAUACAAUUUUUACACAAUUAUAUACUCCCUCCGUUUUUUAUUAUAAGUCGUUUUAGAGAAACUUUUUUGUUCCAAAUUAUAUGUCGUUUUCAAUUUUCUAUGUAAAAUUUAUUAAUAAUUAAUGUUAUAUGACCAAUGGUAAUAUAUCUUAUAUUUUUUUAUUGGUUGAAUUGUGGUUAGGUAAAUAAUUAAUGAUGUUUUUGUUUAGAAAAUAUAAGAAAUUAAUGGUUUUCUUAAUCUACGUGUAUAGCUAUAAAACGACUUAUAUUAAAAAACGGAGGGAGUAUUAAACAAAUAAUUUAAUUAGAGGAAUCAUUUGUUUGGUAAUGGAGAAUAUCAUUUAAUUACAAUUAGGAAUAAUAUUUUUGCUGACUUUCUGUUCCAUGGAAAUACAGAAGUGAAGAAGAAGCAUUCUCCAAGUUAUGGUUGUUGUGAAUCAAAACGAGAAGACACUAAAGAUUAGUUACAGAGUUGGAGUAUAUGUUUGAUGAUCACUGCAGGCAGCAAUCAGGAGCACACAACAUAAACAUAGCCACGCAAUAGUUGAAAGACAAAAGAAAGUUGAAAGCAUCCUUUGGUGAACACAUGUUUAUAUACCUAGGGCUGGUCGUUUUAUCUGUUAAAUCUGAUUGUCUUGGAAGCAAAGCAAAUACAAAAAAUUAAUAUCCGUUAAAAACGAAGUAAAUUAUAAAUACUAAAAAAAAAUUCUGUGGAGAAAAGGCAGGCCAUGGAUUGGUGAUCCUGUUGAUGUAGUUCUUGAUGAACCUUUAGGCUGAAUCACCAAGUGUACGAUUAUGUUUUGAAGAUUGAUCAUUAGCUCUUGUCCCAACACAGGUGAUCUAUCACUCACUUUGUCAUCUCAUGAUGAUUUAUGAAUACUUUUGCUAGUAAACUAUAGAGAUGUAGGAGAUAUUUAGGGUUGUAUAAUCUGUUAUGUUUAGCCACCAAUUUCAAGUGACAUCUCCUUUUGUUUCUGUCAUGAUAUUUCAUUUCCAGGCAGUAUUUGCGCACUGGAAAAUUGUUGUUUGGGAUUUGAUCUCAAAUGGUUUUGUUGUCGGAACAAAACAUAUCCAAUGACUAUAAAUAUGCUAUAACUAUAAAUUGUUAUAAAACAUAUGUAAUGGCUUUAUAAAUGACUUCAUAAAUUGUUACAAACAAAAAAAUUUCAGUUUUUCAAAAUCUUGUGGCAGCUUCAAAAGUGUAUGAAAGCUUCCAAAAGGUUUUUAAAUUCUUUACUAGUCUUUCCAAAAUAUGAGAACUUUCAGAAGUUUCCAGCAUUUUCAACAAUGUUUUCUACUCAGCACUACAAACACAUGACGAGCCUAGCAAGUGAGUGCUUUCAGUUUAUUCAGAGUAGGCAUACAACAAGCAGUUACCAUACAGAUUAGCAAAGGAGCUUGGGAGUUAACGACCAAAGAAGGUAAAGAGAAAAACAUAAAAGUGUAUGUGAGCACGCGUGUGAUGGUCAUAUUAUUCUGAGUUUCUGGACUAUUACUACUACUGUACUAUUGAAGUUCUUUCUCAAGUUCAUCGAACUCCCAUCCAUCAACCUCAUCUGCAGAGUAAUCACGACCCACCUUCCCAAAUUCAGAUUCUAGCUCGGCUAGUUCAGAUUCAGGGUUCAAUUCCUGACUGGAACCAGUAGCAGUAGUAGUCGGUGAUGCCUCGGUAGGAUUUCUCACCUCUGGCUUUUGGGUCAGAGACUUAACUGGAGCAUCCAUGCUACUACUGCUGGGCAUAAGAGAUUUGGGUGAUGCAGCAGCACUGCUUUUAGGUGAUGGAGUUUCUAUCUCUAAUAUUGGCCUUGCAAUGGAUUCAAACUCCUGCCUCAUUUUCUCCAUGUCAUCAAAGAGCUCUUUCACACGCCGGUCUUCCUUCCUGGUAUAAUUAUACGAGUUCAGAAACUUGGCGAUAAUAAAAUUCUACCGAUCAAUAAAGAGUCAAGAGAGUAAUGUUUACUACUCACUUUUCCAGUUUGCUUUGGAGGACUUGGAAAUGCUCUUUCAUGUUAUCCACAAUGCUGAAAGUGGUAAUGAUCUGAUUUUAUACAAAACCAGAUUAGUCACUAGGAAGAGCAAUGAAAAAAAUCAAUAGUGCAAAUCUUACCUUAGUCUCAUAGUCUAGAUACUCCUGCUCUAGACUCUUCCUUGGGCUUGAAACCUGAUUCUCCCCCUCAUCUGCAUUUGGUGGCAUCUCUGACCUGUCACCACCAUAUGCAAAAACUGUAUGUAUUAAGCCAGAAACGAAGCAAUCUAAUUCAACAAGAGGCAUUUACCCAGGACCAAGAUUCUUCAGGUUUUCCACAUAAUUCUCUAUACGGCUUAUCAAAGGUGCCACCUCCUUCUGUUACAAUAUAAAGUUCUGUGUUAGCUCUGUCAUUUACCAACUACUAGUUAAAAUUUCCAUAAACACAAAGAGCUUACCUUGUACGUAGAGAGUAUAUUAAAAGCCACAUCGGAAAAGUAAUCCUCAUGCUUCUCCAACUCAUCCCUACGACAUGCAUCCACUAUUAUUAUCCCUUGUGGUUAAGCAGCAGAGAAAAAAAUAUAUAGCGAGAAAGAGCUGAGAGUUUGAUAGAAAUACAAAGUCUGCUUAUCCUUCUUUUCGGUAUAAGAGCAUUGAUGAAGCCAUGUAUCCUCGAGGAAACUAAUCCAGGUCUUGAUAACUUCUGACUCUUUCUUACAAGCUACAAUUGAUUUGGACAGGUCAUCCUCCUGCAUGCAGAAUCAAAUUAUUUCAUGCGGAAAUUAUUUGACCACGAGAGCUACUCAUCUUAGAGGAAAAUGCCAACCUUUGUUUUCAGGUGAGCGAUUAUCUGAUCGUUGGCUUCACCAAAUUGAUCCCUCUCUUCUGUCGCAUCACGGAACCGAGCUUGAGCAGCAGCUAAUGAUAUAUUGACCUAUAUGGAAAGAAUAUUCAUUUUCAUACCUUCCAUACCACAAUAAACAUAUGCUCAAAUCAAAUAGAAGUGCUUUACAUACCCUCUUCAGUUCAGCUUCCAACUCAUCUCUUUGUUUCACAAGCUGUGCAAUUUCCUCAGCCAAUUCCUGUACAUAAUAAAUAAUAAGAAAGAAUCUCAAUACUUACAGCUGAUGAACAUACAGAAGAAUGCUGUUUUAUCUUGAAUUGAAUAACCAAAAGAACAAAUAAAAGAGGGGGAGACAGAACCUUUUCCUUUUCACCAGUUUCAUUUGCUUUCACCACACGAGCUUUAAGCGCCUCUUCUUUCUGAAGCCUGCGAAGAGACAAUUGGUAUCUAUUAAUGGCGUUUUCCUUCAAGGCAAGCUUUGAUGAAAAUCAAAAUUAAUUAAACAACAGCAAGUAAGUCUUAACUGCAGAUAUGAAGAUAAGCUUUUACCUGUUCUCUGAUAUUCGUUUCUCGGCUUUGGUAGUUGAAUUUGCUAAAGAUUCCAAUAACACCUUCAGCUUGUCGACCUUGUUCAAAGACAAAUUAUUCAUUAUCUUCCAUGCUUAUCAUUCUCUCUAACAUCUAGACUAGAAGUCAUGAGUGGGGCAAGAUGAUAAUUAACAAUACUAAUCAACUUGUAUAGAGAUAAUGAUUUGAGGAUAAUAAAGCCCACAAACUUACUUUCUGAGCAUGUAUAUCUGGUGAAUCACCGUUGCUUAGUUGUCUCUUUCUAAUUAGAAGCCCUUCUAUUCUGGAGCAAAGACGAAUCUUUGCAAGCGUUUGUUUAAGAGCCUGCAAAACAAGAAGUCUUAUCACAUGGAGCUACCUAAACGAUCUUAGGGGGAGAAAAUUGUACACUCACCUCUAUUGUUAAAGGAGCCUCUUUAACUUCCUUGUCUUCACUCUCCUGUGGAGUCUCAAAAACUUUCAUCUUUUCGAGUUUUUCUCUAAGAUCGGAAGCUUCAUCAUCAAUCCUGAAAAGAAGUAUUCAAUCAACAGUGAUGAACGAUGAGUAAGGCUCUAAACGAGAGCAAGAAGAACAUUAACAUCUUCAUUUAUCACCUCAGUAUUUCAGCACUAAUCUUCAACCCAGUGAUAGCAUUUUGGGCGAACUGAAGCAAUUCGUCCUGCUUGACCUGAACAUUGAAGAGUAAACAAGUUAGGAGGAGAUCCAAACGCAUAAAUGCUGAAUUUUAUUGCUCAAGCGCGUACCAAAACUUCAUCCUUGUAACUUGAAAAGACUGUAGAAAGAUCCUGCAUACUGCUGACAAUGGCAUCAUGAACUUCCUUUCCUCCAUUUAGACAAAUCCUGAGAACAAUGUUAUGAACGAAGUGUGUCAAUUUUCCAAAGAAAAAAAAAAAGGAAGUUUAGACUUUCUUUUAAAGCGAAAUUUUCGCAAAGCAAUUUGGUGGUUCAGCUCACCCAAACAUCUCCCGGAGUAGAGAAACUUCUUCAUCAUGUGGUGGUUCAAUAAUCUGUAAUAGAACAGUCAAACAUAGAGUUAACACUCAUAGACAGUACCAUUUUUUUCACAUAGCCCAAAAAAUAUAGGAACAAUACAAUAUUCAAAAGAUUAUGAGAAACAAGACAAAAUACAAGCUCUCACAACAUAAUAAGAGUCUACUUAAUCUGGUUUGUUCUUUAAUUUAUUUUAAGCCAAGAAAUAUAUUGUCUUCACUCUUUAACACUAAGAAAUCAAAUCAACAAUAAUGCAUCUCAAGCCUUUUGGUGGCGUUCCAAACUCUUGGAAACUUUAGAGAAUGGGGAUCGUUUGUUAUCAUCACUUAUAUCAGGUAGCCACCAAAAGUAAGUUUGGGUAGCGAAAGAAAUACCAUGGACAGGACGAUGCCCUCCAGAGCUUGACUUUGCAGGAAAACAUCGCGGAAGUUUAGUGGCUCACCUCCUAUAUCUGGAUCGUAAUACAAAACCUACACAUGGAAAGGGAUCUUCUGUUGGAAAAAGAGUCACAAAUACAGCAUAUAAAACUAAAGUCACUUAUAAUCGAACCCUUUAAUGAAAUAAAUCACCAUAAAUCACUAAAAAUAACAAUCAUAGUUAGAUGAUAUAUGAUGACAUCUUCGUUUCAAAGUUUGUCUUUUCCACUUAAUACCAAAAAGGGGAACAAAAAGAAUACCCAUUCACGCCUCUUUGCUUCAUCAGAAUCAAGUCGUUCCUCAGAACUCAUAUCUUUAUCCUUGACAGAGGUUCCACUAGCUCUAUCAAUCUCCUUAAGGACAGUUAGCCAUCUGGUGAUCAGCAAUGCCCUUUCAUGACCUCUGCAUGAGACUGCAGCUUCUUCCAGUCUCUGAAUCGUCUGAUUCACACUCUUAUAGGCCCCAACACCCUGCAAAUGAAAGAUAGAACAUUUAUAGAGCACAGUGUUCAAAUGAGUGCACUAUCACAGCAAAAUCAAAACUUGAAUCCAGAAAAGAAUAGAACUUUGCAAAGGGAAAUGAAUUUAAAAAAAGAAAAGGAAAGUGGAGAAAUUUUACAAUGCGGUCUUGGAACAAUUUGGCUCCUUCAGCAACGGCUUGACCAGCCUGCUGGACAACGGAGUCGGCAUAGUUCUUGACCUCCACCGCCUUACUCACAGCCGUUCGCAGCCACGACAUGUUUCUCGUCUAUCUUACUGGUUUACUACGGAAAGCAAUCUUCUUCUGGAGGAAGCUCGGACACAGUCAAUGUUUUUACUCGGUGGCGAUUGCUUGUAUUUUGCAAACCCACGACUAUAAACUAUUCAUUCUUUUUCUUAGAGGUGACCAUUUCGGUUUAAAUCGGUUUAGUUUGUCUAGGUCAAUCAAACUUUAAUUGAUUCUUUGGUUUGGUUUGGUUUGUAUCUAAUUUAGUUUGGUUUGAAUUUCAUUUAGUUUGUGUUGGAAUCGAUUUGAUUUGAUUUUGUUUGUGUUUGUUCAGUUCUAUUAAAUUAGUUUUUAAAAAUUUAUAAUUUAGUUAUGAAAUAUAAUUUGUAAAACAUAAAACAAAUUUUAUUCGACACUAUUUUUUUUUACAUUUAAAUAUAAAGUCAACCAUAAUGAUAAAAGUUUUAAAAAUAUAUCUAAUAAUCUAUACUAUUAUUUGCGAAGUAAAUUUUAGCAACAGAGCUUCCACAUUAAAAGUUAGAGUGGUUAAUAUCGACUAUACCCUUAAUAAAUUAAAUAUAUAAAUUAAUAAAAAAUAAAAACGAAUUUGCUUUUUUAAUAAUAUAAGUGAUUAAAACUAAUAAUAAUAAGAAUUAUCUAAAAUCUAAAAAUAUAUAUUUAUUAUAAAAAGAUAAUUCCUAUAUAUAUUAUAACAAGAUAAUUCUUAUUAUAUUGUGUUGUUAUCUUAUAUAUUGUAUUGUUAUCUUUAAAUAAUAUUUUUUAACUAUAAAAAUUGAAAUUUAAGAUAUGAAAUUAUUUAUAAUUAAAUAUUAAUCAAAAAACAUAUGUAUAAAUAAAAAAAUGAUCAUAUAUAAAUAAGUUGAUGUUUGAUUUCUAUGUUUGAUGUUUAAUAAAAUAUAAACUAAUAAAUGUUCACAAAAGGAUAGGUCCGCAUGUGCGGGCAAAACACCUAGUUUUAUAUUAUUUUCGAACCUAAUAAAAAUAUCAUAAAUAGUUUUUAGUUUCUAUGAUAGUGUAUAAAAUUCAUAUAUUUUAUUUUAUUAUUAGCUAUGUUUCUUCUAUUUACUUAAUGUAUAAAAUUAUAUUUAAUUAUUUAGAUUUCAUAAUUUUAAAUUUUAAUAUUAUUAGUUAGUUGAUCUAAUGAAAUAAACAAUUUGAUUUUUCGUUCCGGUUUGGUUUCGUUUAUAACAAAAUCAUCUGGAUUACUAAAAUCUUUAGCCAAAUGGAUUUAGUUUGGAUUCGGCUGGUAUGGUUUGGUUUCAGGCCUAACUACUUUUGCUCUGAGACUUGGGUCGGAUCUCGGAUAUCCAAAUACUAAACAGAGACUCGGGUCGAAUCUCGGAUAGUAAAUCCACCCUAAUCUGCACUUCAGCAGCAGCAGCAACUCCAUUGAGCAAGAUAAAGGCCAAAUCAGAUUAAAAGGCCCCACCUUUACACACCCAAUCACUCCCCUCAGAUUCUCCAUAGCGAUCAGAUUAGAUUCAAUACAAUACGACGGCGAGGGAAAACGAAAAGCUUAAUAGAGGCGACAGCUGUAUAUAUAUAGAGAGAGAUAACACAGCACAGCAGUAAUUAGGGUUUUGAUUUAGGCGAGAAGCCAUGUCAGGUCUCCACAGAUCAUCAAGCUCAUCGAAGAACAUCGGAAAGUCCCUCCCUUCCAAGGAGCUUCUCGACGAUCUUUGCAGGUAUCGAAAAAUGUUUCCUUUAGUAGCGAAAGUGAACUCUGAUUGGAUUUGAUUGGACUCUCUCUCUCUCUCUUUUCCAGUCGAUUCGUUUUGAACGUUCCUGAAGAAGACCAACAGUCCUUCGAGAGGAUUCUCUUUCUGGUGGAGUACGCUUAUUGGUACUACGAAGAUAACGCUGUGGAGAAUGACCCGACGUUAAAGUCUCUGUCUUUGAAGGAGUUUACUUCACUCUGUAUCCUUUUCUCUAAGUGUUUGACCUUUAGCAUUGUUUUGUGUGGAGAUCUGUUUUCCUUGACGUGCUGCCACUAGUGUUCAACAGCUGUGAUGUUUUGAGACCUUACGUGUCUAACGUUGAUGAUAUCUUCAAAGACUUUACCUCUUACAAGUGUAGAGUUCCGGUUACUGGAGCUAUUAUUCUUGAUGAAACAUAUGAACGGGUUAGUUUCUUGUGAUGUUUUCUUGUUGGCGUUAAGUUUUACUUGUUUGUUUGUGCUUACGGUUUUUCUCUUUUGUGGGAGUUUUUAGUGUUUGUUGGUGAAGGGGUGGAAAGGGUCUAGCUGGAGCUUUCCCCGUGGGAAGAAGAGUAAGGAUGAAGAAGACUAUGCGUGUGCUAUUCGUGAGGUUUGUGUUGACUAUGUUGCUUUCCUGCUGCCUCUUACGUUGUUCAUUUGUUUCGUUUCUUUGUAACAAACUUGAUAGCUCCAGCACCCACUCGUUUAUCAUUACUGCAUAUUGUAAAUUAAUUCUAUGUAAUUAGAAUUAGAUCGUCUGUUGGGUAAGAUCGAAUUCUGUAGUCAUUGUAUCUUAUGAGUUGGGCUGUAUCAUACUAACCUCUUGUAGUUGGUGUACUUCAUUGGCUGUUGACAUUUGCAGAUGUGUCAACAGUAUGUGCGCAUGGUUUUGUACUUUUGUUUAAUGUAUAGAUGAUGGAGGUGAAAGAAUAGAAGAGAGAAUAUCUCUCGUAUCUUCCGUAUUGGUUCAGGAUAUCUCAUUUUCAUACUAACAUAACCGUUUGAUCAUGGCAAAUGCUGUUUAGAAAGUGAUCUUCGUAUUUGAGAAUAUAGUUGAGCAAGGAAAUGUUCAUCUUAGAUCAUCAUUAUUCAGGAUCUUUUGCAAAUGAGAAUAGUUGCUGCUGUCAACGGUCAACUAUAGAGGCUAUCUAAUUCUUUUUACAACUUUUUCGUAUAGAAAUGGUCAAAGCGCAAAAGGUUUACUUGUAGCUCUCCCUACUGCUAUUCUACUUGCUGGAGUUUAGGUGUAAUUGUCCUGCUGAUUGUUUGUAUAAACUUGGAUUAUGGGUUAUUGAUGAAAAAGCUUAACGUGUUGUGACAUUUGGCUUGGCUAUGCUAUUUAACUGUUUUUCUGUGCUAAACACAGGUUUUAGAGGAAACUGGAUUUGAUGUCUCAAAGCUACUCAAGAAAGAAGAAUAUAUUGAGUUUACAUUCAGACAGCAAAGAGUGAGACUUUACAUAGUUGCUGGGGUGACAGAUGAUACAGCUUUUGCACCACAAACAAAGAAGGAAAUCAGUGUAUGUAUUUAACAACCAACCUUGUGGGUGUGGUCUUAUCUGCGUAUCUAUGAUGGGUGAGUCUCUUACGCGCAGCUGUUAUGGAAUACUUGUAGGAAAUUGCGUGGCAUCGGCUCGAUCAUCUUCAGCCAGCAAGUAAUGAGGUGAUAACUCAUGGAGUUGCUGGUCUCAAGUUGUAUAUGGUGGCACCUUUUCUUGGGUGAGUAGUGCCUUUUUAUUUUGUCCACAUAGAUUCUUGGGUGAUUUCUAGUAUUGGUGCGUGGCAUUAGAGAUUACAAACAUAUGCAGGUCGUUGAAGUCUUGGAUAUCGAAGCAUCCUGCUCCUGUAAAACGGAGAUCUGAUAAGCCCCUUAGAGGUUUGACAUAGUCCUUUUUGCACCAACCAUGCAUAAAAGAGAGUUUUUUGUAUGGCAGAGAUCUGACAUCAUAGGCUUUGUACAGCACUCAGCGUGUGGAAUGCAAGGACUAGUAGUACUGGAGGAAACGGAACAACAACGACGACGACAACGGAAAGCUACAAUAAGAAGCAGCCCCAACUAAUAGAGCGUCCUAAGGAUACAGAACCUGGAAACAGUCUCAGAAGCUUCAAGUUCAACACGUCAGCAAUCUUGGAAUCAGGAUUUUCAGCUUGACUAGUCUCUCGGACAUAUAAGGGUGGUCGGUAUUGGGAGCUAUGAUGCGGUUGGAUAUGUUCAUAUGCUUGUACUUUUUCUUUUUCUUCGGUAUCUUCUUUAUGCCUGUCGUUUCUUUUGGAAAGAAAGGGUUGUUGUACAUGAUGAUGGUCCGUGGGGGAAGUGGUGAAUCCUUUGGAUGAUGGCUUUAGAUGACAAUGGUUGCGACCAGCUACAAUUAAAGGACUUCUUUAUCCAAUGUAGAGAAUUAUUAUGAUUUAACGCUGAUUUAUUAUGAUUUUACAAUUAUGAUAUAGGAAAUAUUACAUAGACGAUUCGACAACCGACAAUACUACCAAUAAACCGUUCUCUCCGGGAUUUGAAACCUGGAUUUCCUGUAAUCUGCAAUAAAUUGCAUAGUCUGGAAUUUGAACCCCAGACCUGGGUGUAGAAGCUUUUAAAACUUAACUAAUAGGCUACGGUGCUUCUACAAAUCCAAAUAGUUUUAAAUCAUGUUAAUCAGACUUACGUAUCCUAAUGAUAUUGUAAAAUAUAUGUUUUUGAAAGUGUUCCAUCUUUCCACAUUGUAAGUUAAAGAUCUUAACUUAAGGUUGUUACAGAUCUUAGUAAAUGGAAUUGCUUGUGGGUCACGGUCGCUUGGGGCUUCUUCUUUAGAAUCUUGUUCUACUUUUCUUUGCUUUUUGGGUAGUAAGAACAAAGAGAGGUACAAAAAAACUCAGUUUGAUCCCAGGAGAACUGUUUUGAAACUUUGGCUUGCUUUUGUUUGUAUCCUGUAUUUUUCUUCUAAUUCUUUGUUGCAUAACUUUAAUUAUUCUGUCUAAAGUUGUUGAAAAGGAGGUCAACUACUUGGCUAUAUACAUACUUGAAUUAUAUAUAUCAUACACAUUCCACAACAUUAUAACCUGUUGCUUUGAGUAGAUCCAUUAAGGAUCAGAUUACAUGUACGCUGACAGAUAUGUUAACCUUGUCAAGAUUAAGACGUGGUCUCUCAUCACUCUUAAUACACCAUCCUCUAAAAACUUCAAUCUCUUGUCUCAGAAACAAGAAGUAAAUACAAACUCAGACACGUUUCCAAAUCAGAAUGCUGGACUCUCUCCUAGUUCCCAAAACUUUAUGCCCUCAUUAACAGCAUAUACAGAUUAUACCAUGCUAAAGUUCCAUGGCAUGACUCAUCCAGAUGCCUAGGCUGGAGAAAGCAUAAGCGUCAAUCAGAAAUAUUCCUUUCCUUGAGUGAGAUUGUACAUUCGAAGUUAGAACUCACUUAAAUGAGAAAAAUGAGGAACCAUUACCAAACCAGUAGACCCAAAUGGCUGGUACACCUUUAGCAGUUUCCAGUGUGUGUUUUUUUUUUUCAUGGCCAGUAAACCCAGUUCUACCAGCAUAUAAUCAGCGGUUGUUUCAACAUUUCAAGCAGGCUUGGUUUAGCUUAUACUUCAAGUUCCACAAAGAUGUGUACUUACUAAUCCUCUUGGCUGUCCUACAGCUAAACUGAUGAAGUUAUCUUUAGAAGAAUUCAUUAUCUGGUCACUGGCAGAUGAAAGUGAAUGUUUUAAGCCAAAAACAGUCAUGGCUCAACCACAUCGUGGCGGUUACUUAGAGUUUUGCACUCUGGUGCUUUGGCAAAGAGACUCAUUCAUCAAAACCUGUUUUUUUCGUCGGUAAAGUUUUGUUGGGCUCAAAGCCUGGCCUGUAUUUCGACAAGAGGUAAGCGUCUCACCCUAGUCGUUCCUCGCCUCAUAUCUAUUAUAUCAGUCACGUUCUACUUCUGCUUAAACCACCUGAGUGCGAGCAAGCCUGAAAAAUAUCCACAUAUAUUUACACAGCACCAUCUUCCUUUACUUGUUUAUCCAUUCACUUACAGUGCUACGGCCAAAUCUGAAUCACAUCACGAAAGGCGACUAAAUCUAGAUGACACCGCCAGCGAAGUGCUGUAUUUACACAGCCAAGCAAUGACCAAUUCGCAACUUUAACACAACACAGGACAUAGCAGAGUGUCCCUUGAAUGCCCACUGUUAUCAGCCUCGUCCGUGGCAAAAUCACAGAGCUCUCUCGUUUGGUAUCUGGUUUCUAUCACUCAAAUCUCCCUGGUCUCAGAACGUUCACGCAAACUGAAUACUAAUCCUUCUUCUAAAACCCGUCACCGCCAAGCUCACCCCGUUGCCAAAUCUCACUGUACUUUGAAGUUUCCUCCUCUUCCAUAAUCUUACUUCUUCCAGAUGCAUUCUCAGUUGAUGUCUUAUCUUUUCCAUCUACCCCUUGUUCUUUAACCAUCUCAAUACCAGGGUCCUGUCCAUACCUCACAUCAUCAGAACCAUCCUCUACAUUAGUAGGUCCACAACCAUCACUGCUAUAGGAUUGUCUAAAAGAGCUCAUACCAUCAUGUCUAUAACCAAAUUGUCUUCUCUCAACAUUACCAUCACCACCAAAUCGCUGAGAAUGAAUCGGUCCUUCAAAGAAAUCAUCACUGUAGUCCACCCUCUCUCGAGGAUCCACGUUGUUAUAGUUUCUAUGUACAACACGAUCAUAUGGUUUCCUAAAAAAGGUUCCAUCUCUUCCAUAACCUCUCCCCCUUGCAUACCCUCUCCCUCUGGCAAAACCUCGUCCCCUUCCAGCAUUUGAUGGUCUAUGAGAGUAAGGCGGAGGAGAAUCAUGCCUUCUGCCAACCAUCUCCCUUGGAUAACCAGAAUGUUCAGGAGAGCUUACCCUCCCCAUUCUAUAACCUGAGGGUGAUCUCCUAUGAGAAAACUCUGUAUGCCCAUUAAAAUCUUCCUGUGAUCUGUUCCUGAAAGACGAGGACGGUCCAGCUGAUCGUUCUCUUGAUCUAAUUGGAGAUCUUGAACGAUAUCCAGGAAAAUCUCGUUUGUGGUUGUUUGAAAAAGUUGUUCUUCCUCUAGCAAAACUAUUCCGACCUUGAUACGGACGUGGCUGGCUCAUAAACAUUGGCUCCGUGUCGUUGGACUGUCCUCCUCUAGUAAACUUUUCACAAUCUCUAAACCCGUGAAACGCAGAUGCAUCCUCUUUAAAGCCAUGACUUCUUCUCGUGAAGGAGUGGGGGAAAGGAGUGGCUUCAUCAUUUGCAGACCGUCUGCCUCUAUAGGAAUUACUCAUAAAACCACCACCACCACGACGAGUGUUUCCAUAGUCGUUGGACUCAAAAUCUGUAUCCACGAGAUGAGAAAGUUUAGAAACAUUGAAGCUUACAUUACUAAACAAAAAAGUUUAGAAGAUAUGAGUUUACUUUUUGUAUCCCUGUCCUGCAAAUUGCUUUCUGUAUUAUCAGAAAAUCUCCUUCUGUCAGGCAUGAAAUUUAGCCUUGGGCUUCUCAUAGUUUUGCCAUGGUACCUCUCACGCGAGAAUUUGUAGGAAUCAUCAUCACUAGCCAAAGAAACAAUAAUGGAAAAAUUUCAAGGAAAGCCAAAGAGAUCUCAAAAGGGAUGAUAACAAGGUUCAGAAGAAAAAAAAUCACACCUCCCUCUCGAGAGAUAUUUCCUCUGUUCAAGUGAGAAAUCAGACAACCUCUCUCUUUCCAUUCGCAAUGGCACAAAGCUGUCUGAAGCAUCUAGUGUCUUGAACCGACUCUGACUACCUUCACUAGACUCCGCAGGAGGAGGAUCAUUGUCAAUAGUGGACAUUUCUGCUUUGUAUGAAGCUGGACUGAUGUUAUCUACUGUUUCAGGGUUAUCAACCUUCCCACCUGACAAUGUAGACACACCUGAUUCAUCAAAUAUUCAACUGUGAGUUUCUGGUUUAAGCCUCUUAAUCUGAACUUCAGUGCUUGCCAUUUUUGAUUUAUUUCAAGCAUGAUUCAUCAACAGUAUGUAUAUCUCUUUAAUAUUAUUAUUACCUGUAUUACUAAGAAGUGCAGCUUGACUCUCUUUUUCAUCCCUUUGUUCCGUUUCAGAACCACCACACUCAGCAUGUCUAUUACCUUCUGCAAACAUGGCAGGUGAUCUUUGGACCUUCUCGUCGUCAUACAAAUUUCUUUUCUCCACUUGCUUCUUUAGUACUCUAGUUAGGUCAUUACCACACUCUGGUUCAAACUCAUAACUGUACAACUUUUCCCUUAGCUCCUUACCGGAUAAAAUAACCUUUUCUUCACCACUUGUAGAAAGUUCAUUAGCUCCAGGAGAGGUUUUGCAAUCAUCUAGAGUUUUAUCUUCAGUCACGGAAACAUUCACAUCUGAUGCAUUGAGGUUCUCUUCUCCAUGACCAGAACGUGCAUUAGCCAUGUGAACUACACCGAGAUCAGAACUCUGGCCUGGACUUCUUGUCAUUCCAUUCAUGGACAUUGGCGCAUUGCUGACACCACUGGGAUGAGGUAUAUAUGUAUCCUUCUGAUUUGGCGCAAAACUUGCAAGUAUAUCAAGGAUCUCAUUUGAUUGCAUCAUUGGUCUAUGGGGAAGAUUCAACGUUCCAUCUUUCCUAUUGAAAACUUUGGACUGAAUGAAGUUAUUUGGCUCAGCCUUUAUUGAUCUAGAAUCCACUGGAUUCAAACUGCCAACGACCUCCUCUUUCAUCCUGUUAAUUGGAGAAGCUUGAGCACUCUCUUCAACGACUUCUGACUUCACAGUCCUAAGAUUUACAGAGUUCACAUUAUCAGCAGCCAUUAUUGGUCUAGAAACACUUGUGCAGGCAACUCUUGCCUCCGAUGUGGUGGCUGAUAGAGAAGGAGACUUCUCAAUAGGAGGAUAUGACCUGAGGCCUAGACUUAGCGAACAUGUGGGAACAACCUGACGAUCAAACUGCGUCGAAGUCACUGUAGGAGAUUUAAAUUCUAAACUUUCCUUCAGUUUUUCAGAAACUGGCUUUGCAAUAACAGUCGUAUCACCACAACUUGAUGUCUCUAUGUCAGGGCAACUACUGUCAAAGAAAGAACCAGUUGUCUUAACUCUAGUCUUGCGAUCUAGACCAUCUUCCCAAGCAUCCAUGGUAGUAUUCAAAUCCCAAUUUGAUCUGUUCACACCACUGAGAUUGCCAGAACUAGUACAAGUAGGAAUAGAAUCUGUGACAUGAGGUGCUGAAGGUUUACAACUUAGCAGCCCAGCAGAUGCUUCUGUUUGACACUCUCCCUUACUAACAAUGUCAUGGGUCUUAAGAACAGUUUGUUCUACAUUCAACUUAGAACUGAAAGGGACCACAGAGCCUGCCAAGGGACUGGAGUGAAUUGGUGGAAUAUUAGGCUCUUCAGCUUUCACUCUAGUUUGGUCAACAACUAGGCUCCCAAUACUCUCCGUUUUAUCAGCAACUUUUCCCACAGAAACAGACGGAACCGAAGGGAUUAUAUUUCCAAUCAAUGUCUGAUGUACAUGCGCAUCAGAUGAAUUCAAAUCCAAAGCACUCCUAGUAUCACCACCUUGCUCAUUAAGUUGUGUAUUUUUUUCCAAAGAUGAUUCCUCCGGUAACACAAAGUACUUCCUCUUCUUGAUUGGUAUAGCAGCAUUGAAAUCUCUGCACCGCCAUGUAGGCAUGCUGAUCUGAGGCUGAUGGAUACCAACCAGACACACACACAGACAGUAAAAAAGACAGUUUCUAAAAAUAGUGAAUGCACUAAAACUAAGAGUUUAAUUAAAACACCUGUUGGUUUCCAGACAUAACUCGAAAUAAAUAUCCUUAACUCCAAGCUUGUACCUUUUUUCAGACAAAACACCUACAGAUCAAUCUCAGUUAGGUCUGUCUGCAAAAAAUAAAAAAAGUCAAAAUAUAUUUUUUCAGAUCGAAUAAAAACAUAAAAACUAACAGAGAAUCUAGACACGUCAUUAGAACAGAAGAACAACAAUCAACUAAACUUGAAGAGAAUCAAUGAUUAAUAAAAUUACAGAAACAGAAUCACAAAGCACUAAACAAGAUCGAAGACUCUUUUUUUUUUAAUUUUAAGAUGAAAGGUACAACCACUGACCAGAGAAGAAGACUAAUCAAAGACUUUGAGACUAAGCAAAUCCACCGACAAGAAGAGAAGAAAAAAACAAGUAGAAUUCUAGAUUUAGGGAAGAAAGAGAAGAAGAAGAAUCUACCGAAGAAGAAAAGAAGAGUGGUGGAGAGGUCUGAGUAGAGGCAGUUUACAGGAAAGUUUACAGUUAUUGGCUAAAUGAAAGAGAAAAGAUACGAGAGGAGGAGGAGGAGAGAUGCCAAACUUUGACAAGGGCCACACAAAGCCUCUCCAUCUUUGCCUCUUUAUAUCAUUCAUUGUUUGACCGACUCCUAUUAAAUAUUUUCAUUCUAUAAAUAUUUCGAUAUUUCCUUAAAAAAAGAUAAUUUACCAUUUUCGAUCAAGUCUAUUUAAUUGAUAAAUCGUAACUAAAGAGUGGGCGUUCAGAUAUCCAUCCGGAUUUGGAUCUAUUCGGGUUUCGAGUUUUUUGGAUCAAAGACUUUAACUCCAUUUGAGUUUUUUAAAAUUUCAGUUGAGCUCGAUUCAAAUCUUUGCAGGUUCGGAUAAUCUAAUUAAAUUAUUUUAAAAUAUUUAAAAUUCAAUAUAUACUUUAACAUUUUCAAAAUCUAUAAACAAAAUAAUAUAUUACAUAUAAAUUUUAAUAACUUAUGUAAAAGUAUCUAAACUUAACAUAUAAAUUGGUUUGGUUUAACUAUUUAAUAUUUUUUCUCAUCAGAGAAUCAAUAGAUAUUUCAAAUAUUUUUGGCGUUUUGAGUAUAUUUUAGAUAUUUGCUUUUAACUAUUUGUGUAUAUUUUCAAGUAUUUUGGAUAAUUUAAAAGUGUUUUAUAUAUUUUGGAUGUUUUUAAUAUCCGUUAAAUCUAAAAAUAAUUAAUAUAUUUAGGUAUAUAAAUUUAUUUCAAAUACAUUCGAACAUCCGGGAUACUUCGGAUCGAAUUUGGUUUUAGUUUUCUAAAUAUUAAAAUUUUGAACUCGUUCGAAUAUUUAAUCAAAUCGGUUCAGAUUCGACACUACUUUUUGGAGCAGAUUCGGGUUUUUUUUUAUUCGGAUUUUUGUCCAACCCUAAUCGUAAUCAUAAUAUAGCUCCCUACUCAACUAAUGAUAAGACUAAAAAAUUGUCGGUGACAUGUUCUAUGCAUACUGAAUUCAAAUAUUUUAAAACAGUGAUUAUACGAACCACCAUUAAGCUGCAUAUUAUUCCGGAAUUUUAAAUUUUAAAUGUAGUAUUAAAGGGGUUUUGAAAAAUUUAAGCACUGUAAUCAGCAUUAAGGGCCCGGGUAGCCAGAGUAACUAGGGCGGUUUGCACAUGCAUUUGCUAUGUGUUUCUAUAAUGGGCCUUAUCAGUUGGUCUAGUAAUGGGCCGUUUUUGACUAAUAUUUGCUGUUGAAGAGAGCAACUAUUAGUUGUUGACCAGUCAAAUAUCUUCCACAUUUAUUACUGUGGAAAAUUAAAAUAUUCAUGCAAAGAUAACAGAGUACAGAAAAUAAAGGGAAACUUGUAAAACAGACAAUACAAGUGGACAAAAGCUUCGUCUGUGUCCAUCUCUCCACAAGACUCGGUCUCAUAUUUACAAUAAUCAGAAAGUGUUGAUGAAUAAUCAUUUUGCAACUGUUUUGGAGUUGUUGAAGAACCAAAGAGUGAAGUGAAAAAAAAAAAGAGAGAUAGAAGAUGGCUAGCUUUAAAGUGGGUUCCAAAUCUGAAGUCUUUCAUCUAAGUGGUCACACGUGGUCAGUCCUCUUCUUCAAUGGGGUUUAAUCAUCAAACAUAAUUCUUCAGUGGGGUAAUCAUCAAACAUAUAUAAUCUUACAUAUCUCUUCUUCUUAAUCUGUGAUUUAGGCUUUGCUCAACUGGUCUUAAACCUGAUGUGAUGAUCCAAGUACAAGACCAAACCUUCCAUCUGCAUAAGGUAUAGUAAACCAAACCUAGUAACAUUGACUCACUCAUACUAUGUCUCAUGUGUUUUCUUCAUCGCCAAGUUUCCGUUGUUGUCAAGAAGUGGAUACCUAGAAACUCUCUUCAGCAAAGCCUCUGAGUCAACUUGUGUUGCCCAGCUUCAUGACAUUCCCGGUGGACCAGACACGUUCUUGCUCGUGGCCAAGUUCUGUUACGGUGCAAGAAUUGAGAUCACAACUGAAAACGUUGUGAGUCUCAGAUGUGCAGCUGAGUAUCUCCAAAUGAGUGAAACCUAUGGAGAUGCUAAUCUCAUCUCUCUCACCGAGAGUUACCUCAACGAUAAUGUUUUCACAAACUGGGAUGAUUCAAUCAAAGCCUUGGAGAGUUGUGAACACAAACUAAUACCUCUAGCUGAAGAACUUCACAUUGUCACUAGGUGCAUUGCUUCUUUAGCCAACAAGGCUUCUUAUGCAGAGGAUACUAUUACAUCUUGGAACGGUAUACAAACUAAGUCCACGAGCAGUAACUGGUGGCUCAGCGAUGUGUCUUCAUCCCUUGAUAUCUCAAUGUACAAAAGAUUCAUCAAAACUAUUGAAUCUAGAGGCGUGAAAGCUGAUACAUUAGCAGCAUCUGUCACGCAUUACGCUAAACGUAACCUUCCUUUACUUGGUAGUUCUAGGCACUGUGGUUCUUCAUCUUCAGAGGAAGGUACUAAUCAUGGUAAUGAUGGAAGUUACUACUCUGAUGAAGAUCAAAGAAGUCUCCUAGAAGAAAUAGUGGAGCUACUACCGAGCCAAAAGUGUGUUACAUCGACAAGAUUCUUGCUCAGGCUUCUUAGAACAUCCAUGGUUCUGCAUGCAAGUGAGGUCAUUCAGGAGAAUCUUGAGAGAAAAAUUGGUGUGCAGCUAGACGAAGCUGCUCUAGAGGAUCUGCUUAUACCAAACAUGGGAAACUCAGCUGAAACACUCUAUGAUAUUGACUCUGUCCAGAGGAUUCUUGAUCACUUCAUGUUAACAUUUAAUUCUUCUUCAAGCUGUUACUUAGCAGAGGUAGAUUCUCAUCCUCUUAGGCCUAUCACAAAGGUUGCUUAAACCAAACCUAGUAACAUUGACUCACUCAUACUAUGUCUCAUGUGUUUUCUUCAUCGCCAAGUUUCCGUUGUUGUCAAGAAGUGGAUACCUAGAAACUCUCUUCAGCAAAGCCUCUGAGUCAACUUGUGUUGCCCAGCUUCAUGACAUUCCCGGUGGACCAGACACGUUCUUGCUCGUGGCCAAGUUCUGUUACGGUGCAAGAAUUGAGAUCACAACUGAAAACGUUGUGAGUCUCAGAUGUGCAGCUGAGUAUCUCCAAAUGAGUGAAACCUAUGGAGAUGCUAAUCUCAUCUCUCUCACCGAGAGUUACCUCAACGAUAAUGUUUUCACAAACUGGGAUGAUUCAAUCAAAGCCUUGGAGAGUUGUGAACACAAACUAAUACCUCUAGCUGAAGAACUUCACAUUGUCACUAGGUGCAUUGCUUCUUUAGCCAACAAGGCUUCUUAUGCAGAGGAUACUAUUACAUCUUGGAACGGUAUACAAACUAAGUCCACGAGCAGUAACUGGUGGCUCAGCGAUGUGUCUUCAUCCCUUGAUAUCUCAAUGUACAAAAGAUUCAUCAAAACUAUUGAAUCUAGAGGCGUGAAAGCUGAUACAUUAGCAGCAUCUGUCACGCAUUACGCUAAACGUAACCUUCCUUUACUUGGUAGUUCUAGGCACUGUGGUUCUUCAUCUUCAGAGGAAGGUACUAAUCAUGGUAAUGAUGGAAGUUACUACUCUGAUGAAGAUCAAAGAAGUCUCCUAGAAGAAAUAGUGGAGCUACUACCGAGCCAAAAGUGUGUUACAUCGACAAGAUUCUUGCUCAGGCUUCUUAGAACAUCCAUGGUUCUGCAUGCAAGUGAGGUCAUUCAGGAGAAUCUUGAGAGAAAAAUUGGUGUGCAGCUAGACGAAGCUGCUCUAGAGGAUCUGCUUAUACCAAACAUGGGAAACUCAGCUGAAACACUCUAUGAUAUUGACUCUGUCCAGAGGAUUCUUGAUCACUUCAUGUUAACAUUUAAUUCUUCUUCAAGCUGUUACUUAGCAGAGGUAGAUUCUCAUCCUCUUAGGCCUAUCACAAAGGUUGCUAGUCUGAUAGAUGGUUACUUAGCAGAGGUGGCUUCUGAUGAGAACUUGAAACUAUCUAAAUUUCAAGCACUUGGUGCUUUAGUCCCUGAAGAUGUGAGGCCAAUGGGUGAUGGUAUCUAUCGUGCAAUUGAUAUAUACAUCAAGGUAUACAUGUGUUAAUUUGAGUUAUUAUGAACAAGACCGGUCCUGAAAUUUUGAGAGAUAAACAAUUUAGUAAGGAUUUUUAUAGAUGUUUUUCAAUAAUUUUGGAUGCAUUUGUCUAUUGAAAAUAUUUAAAAAAAUUUAGGAGUCAUAGGCCAAUGUUUCAUUUGGGUAUAUACUCAUAUGACCGCUCCUGAUCGAUUGUGGGUUGCUUAUAUUAUUAUGAAACUAAUCUUUUGAAUGUCUCUAUAUGCAUGCAUAUGGUUUUGGAGAAACAGGCUCAUCCAUGGCUAACCAAGUCAGAGAGAGAGCAACUGUGUCUGCUUAUGAACUGCCAGAAACUAUCAUUGGAGGCAUGCACACACGCAGCACAAAACGAGCGUCUACCUUUGCGAGUCAUAGUACAAGUCUUGUUCAUUGAACAGAUGCGGCUUCGGACAUCAAUAGCAGGAUGGUUCUUUGACACGGACAGCAACAAUGACGACACAAGCGGCAAGUGUCAUACACAAGAGGGAGACAACGGAAAUGCAAAUAUGGUGCUGAAUGGGACGAUGAAGGAACGUGUUUACGAGCUUGAGAAAGAAUGUACGAGCAUGAAGCAAGAUCUUGACAAGCUUGUCAAGACAAAAGAAGGCCGUAGCUUCUUCUCUAAGUUAUUCGGAUUGAGGUCUAAAACUAAGACUUCACCAGGAGAUGAAGACGGUCUAAGGAAAGAGUAACAACUAGUAACGAGAGUUGCAUGGUCACUAGAGACACUUUUGGUUCAUUUUGUUCUUGAAUUUUAUAUUGGAAACUCUCUGAAAUCAUAUGAUCUUAGAUUUAGAAUCUCUUAUACUUUCUGGAAUCAUAUCAUCUAGUUAAUUUAUGCAUCUUUUGAAGUUAGUUAUAUCAGAGUUGGAAGUCUUUCUUUCUUGUCAUAAGGAUUGCCGACACAGCCUUUUGGGGCCAAGAGUGUCCAUCAUGUAAAUGUAAAAACUAGCAUAGCCAUUGGACAGAAGUGAGAUUAUAUAUUGGUUAAAGGGGAAAAGUAUAGUUUUGAAUUUGAGUCCAUGCUAAAUAGUUUUUGAGAUAAAUGUCAAUCACCAACCAAAUAAAAGUCCCCCAUCCAUAAUAAAAUAGGUCCCAAUUUUUUUGAAGUGGGGUUUAGAACUCCUGAAGAUCAAACAAAAAAAACAUAUGUAACUAGAGAGAGACACCAAAGGAAGGGUGAGGAAGAUUAUUAACGGAUUUGUGAAUGGGAAUAAAUUUCCGAGCCUUAACAUGUUUUCCAUUAAUGGUGAACUUGGUCGGGCACGCCUCAUCCUUUACAAUCUCUGGAAUCUUGGCGGCAGAACGUAACACCAUCCUUGCAUACAGCGCUUGCAGGUCCUUCCCUCCUACUCCACCCAUGUGUAUCGCUUCCACAAUAUCUCCAAAUCUCCUACAACACCAAAAAUGUAUAUACUACUGUUUAAAACACACUACCGUGAUAAUCUUUAAACCACAUGCAUGCCAGCUAGAACGGUUGAAAAUUAAUCUAUAAGACUAUAAGUAAUGAUUGUGUUACAUUGUUAAUUAGAAGAAUGCAUGGUAGAUUAGGGCAAGAUUAUCGGUGUCCUUAGAGGCAUAUCUUAGCAAUUAAACACUCAUAAUUAAAUGAAAAAUAGCCAAUAAGAAUAAGGACGCCUCUUAAUUAAGAAGUUUUCUAUGUUGUCCUUACGAGCCACCUGUCUCACAGGAGGGAGUUUUACCUUCUUCUCUCCACAUCUCUCUCGAGACAGAAAUUGAUCGAUUUUUUUCUUCACCAAUUGUAGAUCCCUCUGUUUCCCUCGUAGAUCUUCUCCUCUCUCUGUUUUCCUCGCUUGAGACCGGUGGUGUUCGAUUUGAAGGACUUUGGAGGUGUCGGCAAUGGGGUCACGGACUCACGGUUGACACCGAGGCGUUUGAGAGAGCGGUGGUGGAGAUUUGCAGCGUAACGCAUUGGCUGGCUUGCCUGAGAUUCUUGUCACCACACCUGCUUGUAUUCCUAAGUGUUUUGCAGAUGGGGUUUUAGAUCCCGCAGCUAUCAGUGAAUCGCUUGAGAUUUUGGUUCUUGAUGAGGUAUGAUAAAUAUUCUCCUUUGGAUUUUUUUAGGUUCAAUGGUUUAUAGUGGUGAUGAGAAGUAACAUUAGCUUUGUGAAUUGUGACUUUUCUAGAUAAUCAAGUAGUAUAACUGUCUUGAACGGUGGAAACAUGUUUGAAAAAUGUUGUCUUGAGAAGUUGUCUUGAGAAGUUGUCUUGAACGGUGGAAACAUGUUUGAAAAAUGUCAGUUCUGAUGUUGAGAAAUUGAAGAAAUUGAUUCUGCACAACCCGGUAGUCUUGACCUUGCAAGAAGGUUCUGACAAGGAAGAGCCCGUCCCAAGUAAUGUGCAGCAGUUUUGGGUAUGAUUCAAACGCUUAGCUUUGCUUAAGUAAAUUUCUUGGUUAUGUUCACAGUUGUGGUUCUGAUUAAUGAUGACUAUUGUGUUAUCUUGUUUUAGAUUUCUUGCAGUACUCAGGAUAAACUACUACACAUUCUUGCUCUCCUGAAGCUAGAGGUUGUUCAGAAGAAAGUUCUGAUAUUCAUCAAUACUAUUGACAUGGGUUUCAACGGCCAUUGACACCGGUGAAAAGUGUAAGCUACUGUCAUUGAUUCUCGUUCUUGUGCUUGCUUCUUGUUAUUGAUUCAUGUUGUUGUUUGUUUCAGGAUUGGACUCUCUUGCAACACACAGGUAUUGAGAGCAUCCGUGUCACGUACUCACGGAUUUCUUCUUAUUUCACCAAACGUUCCAUGUUAAGUUCUUUCUUCUUUCUUCUAUCUCAAGUUUUUUAUCUAAACACAAGAUCAAACGAUUCAAAUUAUUUAUCUAAACACAAGUUCUAGCUCAAACUCUUUCUUCCAUCUCAAGUCUUAUAAAACAAGAAAAAUCCUACCAAUAAUCUUUAAUUUAUGGAUUGUCCUUAGCUUUGUCUUUUAAUAUAAAAGUAAUAAUAAAAUAUGUUAAGGACUUAAAAAUUGUCCUACCAAUAAUGUUGCCCUUAUAAUGGGGUCCUAGACUCCUAGCUAAUUAAAUAAUUGGGAGUAUAAGAACUAGGCAAGGCCUUGGCCUUGCAUGCAUGGCUUAUAAUUAUAUGGAUUCAGUACCUGGUGAAAUAUUCAUACACUUCUACUUCAGAGAUUGGGUAUCCUUUAGAGAAUGUGAGGAAGACAGUCCUGUCCUCAGCCGUUAGUUGCUGUCCCUCAACGUUGCUUGUUCCUGCUGCAUGAUUAGUUGUUGCUUGUUGACCACACAAGAAGUGGCUAGAGGUAUGCAUCUUCUCCUUGUUGUGCAUCUCAAAGCGCACGCAUAUAUCCUCAAAAGCUGGGUAGCAUAUACUCGUUAAAUGCUUCUUCAUCUCAAGGAGAAUGUCUUCGCGCUUUUGGUGGAUGCCUUCGAGAGUAAAGUUCUGUCUGGUCAUACGCCUGAUCCAAGGUAUAGAUAAGGAGUUGAUAUUUUUCAAGCUGGCCACGAACGAUGGGAAAUUUUCGUAGGAUAAGCAGCGCAGACACAUGACGACUUCGUCAACGACGCUGUUGAUGAAAAGGUCCGGGAAUGAAACAAGAUUAAAGAUUAGUUUGCUCAUGAAAACACUUUUCUCGAGAUAGAUGAGAAAGCACAUAAUCUCAAAAGACAGGCUAAUGUCUCGUCUUAGACUUAUGACAAUACGAGUGAAAAGAUCUCUUUCAAACUUGUGGAAAGCGUUGAACUCUUCUCUGGUGAUGGAUAGUGAGGAUGAAAAAGAUGAAGAAUCCAUGAGCCUUUUUUUCACUAAGCAGAUAUGAAAUUUUGAUAUUUUUGCUUUUGUUUUGAGAGCAUGUGAAUAGAGGUGGUAAGAGAUGAAAAUAUAGGUAGAGUUUUGAAAUGGUGAAUAUGUUUUUGGUCAUAUCUCAUUUUCUGUAUUAAGAGAUAUACCUUCAUGCACCAAAUCUAUAUUAAUUUGAUUUUCCUAUAAAUGUCCUCAUUUUCUUUAUUUUUCAAAUAAUAUCCUAUACUCUUAAAUAGGUACAACAUUUUUUUUAUUUUUUUUUGGGGGGUGUAUCUUGGAGUUGGAUAAAAUUUCAUGUGAUUCAGUAAACAGAAUAGAAAUUCCAUUAUUGCUAGAUCGAAUUCUAUCUAUAUGAUUCGGUGAAGAAUGAGAUAUGGGAUUUUUAAAAUAAACGGAUAAAUGAUAAAUUCAAAAAAGAUGCUCGGGGAUGGAAAAGAGGGAACAUCUACAAUACCCGGAUUUAAUCAGAUACAAUUUGAAGGGUUUUAUCGGUUUAUUGAUCAGGGUUUAAUAGAAGAACUUUCGCAAUUUCCAAAAAUUGAAGAUAUAGAUCACGAAAUUGAAUUUCAAUUAUUUGUGGAAACAUAUCAAUUGGUAGAACCUCUGAUAAAAGAACGAGAUGCUGUCUAUGAAUUACUUACAUAUUCUUCUGAAUUAUAUGUAUCCGCGGGAUUAAUUUGGAAAACCAAUAGGAAUAUGCAAGAACAAAGAAUUUUUAUUGGAAACAUUCCUUUAAUGAAUUCCCUUGGAACUUCUAUAGUAAACGGAAUAUACCGAGUUGUGAUCAAUCAAAUAUUACAAAGUCCUGGUAUCUAUUACCAGUCAGAAUUGGAUCAUAACGGGAUUUCGGUCUAUACCGGCACCAUAAUAUCAGAUUGGUUAAUAAUAACAAUGUCUUUUUUAUGUUCUUUCUGGUCUUCUCUUGCGGGUCUUGUUUAUAUGUCGUCUGCAACCACAAAAAUUACUAUGUGUAUCUAAUAAUUACUUGCGUGUUUUGCUUAUAUGUCGUCGAGUAUUUAAUAAUCAAUAUGUGUUUAUGCAGGUAGACAUAAACAUGGGACUCCACAGCUACAGCCAGCCUUCGCAGUCUGACGAUAUAUUUUGCAACUCAGAGGACGGUAGCUUCAGCGAGAUGGAAGAUCUCAUUCGACGUGACCAAGCUGAGUUAAGCUUACACGCUAGUUCACAGGUUCAGUAUCCUCCUCAACCAGAGGUUGAGUUUGGCAUCCCACAAACUUGUUACUGCGGUGCUAAGCCUCUCCUUGCAACAUCUCGGACUGAUCCAGGUUAAGUAAAAUCUCGUCUAGUCUUGUAAAGGGUAAUCACCUCCUGAUAUACUGUCUUCUUCAUAGUCUUGCGUGUGUGUUCACCACAGGUAGACGAAUCUACACAUGUGAGAACGUGGACGAUGGAGAGUGCCAUGUUUGGAAAUGGUGGGAUGAAGCCAUGAUGGAAGAGAUGCGAGCCCGAGAUCGACAUGUGAUUCAGCUAGAGGAAAAGGUGGACAAUCUUUCACUUUGCAGUGACAUCGAGACUGACCAGCGACUGGUUAGAGUUGAGAAAAUGGUGGGUGAUAUAGGAAAGGAACAAUCCAAGCUUAGGCUGGGAUUUGAGUACUUUGUAAGUGCAAUGAUUGUGGUGACAGUUUUACUUGGAAUUGUGCUGAUGGUUAAGUAAAUGAAGAUGGUGAUGUAUUGAACUUUAUGUAAUAUGAUGUAUGGACUUCGAACUUUAUGUAAUAUGAUGUAUUGAACUAUAUGUAUUAUGUCUUAAUGUAUCAGACUUUAUAGUGUAAGUGUUUUGUUAUGUAGUUUUUUUGCAUUUUAACGCAUAGAUUUGCAUGGCCACAGAAACAGGUUGCGUUGAUUUCAAAUAUACAAUUAUAUCAGAACAUGUACUUUCCAUUGUUUGUUUGUAUCACGGGAAAGAAAGCUUUAAGUCACAAGAUGAGAUGAGAGUCACGAGAUGAACUAAAGACCAAUUAUAAAUAAGACACUUCUUCUUUCAUAAACACUUGUACUUCUCCUUACAUUCAUAUCUUCUUCUUUCUUUCAUAACUUCGUUUUUCAUAAACACUUCCACUUCUCCUUGUUUCAUUCCUUUAAAUUUCUUUUUAAAAAUGGCAUCUUCUUCCCAUUAUCAUUACCAUAGAGGAGGUGAUGAUAAUGCAUUUGAAGGCGUAUUUGAUGAUAUAUUUGAAGAUCUCGAAGCUAUUCCCGAACCAAAAGAGCGAAAAAAACGUAUUUUUAUCGAGAGAAAUCGGGAAGAAGGCCACAACAACCUUUGGAAUGAUUAUUUUAGCGACACUCCAACAUAUCCGCACAAUUUGUUCCGCCGACGAUUUCGAAUGAACAAGUCAUUGUUCUUAUAUAUUGUGCAUCGUCUCUCUACUGAAGUUGAGUAUUUUAAACCCAAAGAAGAUGCAACCGGACGGUCUGGUUUAUCGCCUCUCCAGAAAUGUACCGCAGCAAUUCGUCAAUUGGCGUAUGGUGGUGGAGCUGAUCCCGUAGACGAAUAUAUACGACUUGCUGAAACAACAUCUCGUAAAUGUUUGCACGAAUUUACCGCCGGAAUAAUCCACUUGUUUGCCGAUGAAUACCUCAGACGUCCCACAGUGGAGGAUCUUCGGAGACUACUCCAUGAGGGUGAAGAACGGGGAUUUCCCGGAAUGAUUGGAAGCAUCGACUGUAUGCAUUGGGAGUGGAAGAAUUGCCCCACUGCCUGGAAAGGAAUGUAUUCACGAGGAACCGGAAAACCAACAAUUGUGUUGGAGGCCGUUGCUUCAUAUGACCUCUGGAUAUGGCACGCUUUCUUUGGCGCUCCAGGUACUUUGAACGAUCUUAAUAUUCUGGAUAGAUCACCUGUUUUUGAUGAAAUUAUUAACGGGAAAGCUCCCCAAGUAAACUACUAUGUCAACGGAAGGGAAUACAAUUUGGCGUAUUAUCUGACGGAUGGUAUCUAUCCAAAAUGGGCGACUUUUAUUCAGUCUAUACGACUGCCACAGGGUGCAAAAAAUUCUUUAUUUGCUACGCGUCAAGAAUCCGUUCGAAAAGAUGUCGAGCGGGCCUUUGGGGUCCUCCAAGCUAGGUUCGCCGUUGUUAGAAAUCCUUCUAAUCUAUGGGAUAAAAACAAAAUAUCGAAUAUUAUGCGAGCAUGUCUCAUACUCCAUAAUAUGAUUGUCCAAGAUGAACGGAAUUCAGAUACUCUUGAAGAAUUUCAAGAUGACGAUUUUACUUUUACCGUCAAAAAGGCUAAAAAACCCGGCAAUAUAAUUGCUCGUCGUAAAGAAGUUCGGGAUCCACAUAUCCAUCAACAAUUAAAAGAAGAUUUGAUUGAACAUAUAUGGGAUAAAUUUGGACAUCUUCCAAAUUACAUAUAAUGUGUUUUUGCUUUCUAUGAUUUAAAUAAAAUGUUUCUCUUAUUUUAUUUAUGCAUUUUGUAAUUUUUUUCCACUCCUUUGUAUUUUAAUUUUCAUGUUCUACGUAUUUUAAUUUUCAACUUUUCUUUAUAAUGUCAUAAGUUAUUCGAUAAUUUAUCUUCAAUUAAUAAAAAAAAAAUUAAUUCACUAAGGGACUUUCAUAAGUCCCACCAAUAAUCUAAUUUCUAAAGGAAAAUCCCUAAAUAUGACCUUAACUCACAAAUAACCUUAAAAUAUUCUAAGGGCCAAAAAAUCAAGACCCACCUAUAAUGUUGCUCUUAUAAAGUUUCAUUUAUAUUAUAAGGUCAUGGCCAUCCAAUCCAGUUAUUACUUCUUUCAUGUCAUUUUAAUCCAAGUAUAAAUAGUCAAGUUAGACAUGUGUUUUAAAGUCGAUACCGAGAAUUGUAUCUUUAACAUAAGGGUGUGCUUUCAUGAGCUUGUAAGGUAAGUGAAAAGCACAAAUGGCUAAAAUGAAAGGUUCUAAGGUUUUGUAUUCGAUCUUAGGAUGUGUGAGGAUAGAAAACGUGUAAGGUGAGUGUUUGCUUUUGCUUAGUGUGUUGUUUACAGAGAGAUUUGUAAGUUAAUUUUAUCACAGCUGAAAGUCUUUUCCUUUCAUAAGGAUUUCCCAAAACAUUCAUUUGGGUCCAAGAGUGGCCAGCAUGCAGAUGCAGAGAUUAGCAUAGCCAUUGGGGACAAGGGAGAUUAUAUUGCUUAAAGAGGGAAAAGUAUAGAAAUUGAAAGAUGUAAACAAACAAAUUUGAGUCGAUGCUAAAUAGUUUUGAGAUAAAUAUCAAUCACCAACCAAAUAAAAGUCCCCCAUCCAAAAUAAAAUAGGUCCCAAGUUUAUUUAAGAGGAGGGCACAUGCAUAUGCCCUUGGAACUCCUCAAGAUCAAAUAAGAAGAUUAUUUAACGGAUUUUGCGAUUGGGAAUGAAUCUUCGAGCCCAGAAAUAUUUUCCAUUAAUGGUGAAUUUGGUCCUGUCAAGCCCAUCGCUUACAAUCUCUGGAAUCUUGGCGGCAGAACGUAACACCAUGCAUGCAUACAUCGCUUGGUCCUUCCUUUUCCCUCCACCCAUGUGUAUUGCUUCUACAAUAUCUCCAAAUCUCCUACAACACCAAAAAGUUAUACUACUGUUUAAAACACACUACCGUGAAAACAUCCACAUGCAUGCAUGGCCGUGCCAAACCAUAAUGUUUUAAAAAACCUAUACUAUACAUAGUGAAAAUUCUCAAAAUACGAGGUCCUAGUUAGUUAGGAAGGGACUUGGCCUUGCAUGCAUGGAUUAUAAAUGGAUCCAGUACCUGGUGAAGUAAUCAUGCACUUCUGCUUCAGAGAUCGGGUAUCCUUUAGAAAAUUUGAGGAAGAUAGUCCUGUCAUCUGCCCUUACGUGCUGACCCUCAACGUUGCUUGUUCCUGCUGCUACACGAUUACUUGUUCCUUGUUGACCACACAAGAACUGAAUAAACUUCCUCUCCUUGUGCGUCUCAAAGAGAACGCAUAUAUCCUCGAAAGCUGGGUAGCAUAUAGUGUUUAAAAUAUCUGUCAUCUCAAGGAUAAUUUCGUUGCGAUUCAGGUGGAUGACUGCGAGAGUCAACUUCUCUCCGGUCAUACGCCUGAUCCAAGGUAUGGAUGCGGCGUUGAUGCUCCCCAUGCUGGCCAGGAACGUUGGGAAAUGUGUGUAGGACAAGCAACGUCGACAUAUCUGGACCUCGUCAACGACGGUGUUGAUGGAAUGGUCAGGUAAAGAAACAAGAUUGCUGAUUAGUUUGCUCCCGCAAACACUUCUAUCGAGAUAGAUUAGAAAGGACAUGACCUGAAAAGACUGGGUAAUGUCUUCUUUUAGACUUACGACAAUACGAGUGAAAAGCGCUCUGUCAAAACUGUGGAAAGCAUUGAACUCUUCUCUCGUGAUGGGUAGUGAUGAUGAAGAAGAUGAGGAAUCCAUGAACAUUUUUUUCAAUAAGCAGAGAUGAAAUUUUUAAAUGUUUAUCUUUGCUUUUGAGAGCAUGUGGAUAUAUAGGUGGUAAGAGAUGAAAAUAUAGGUGGAGUUUAGAAAAGAAAUCCAGUGAAAUGGUGAAUUUAUUUUUUUGUCAUGCCUUAUUUUCUUUAUUAAGAGAUAUACCUUCAUGCACCAAAUCUUUUUCAUUUGAUUUUCCUAUGCAUGUUCUCAUUUGGUUUAUUAAGAGACAUUUUCAUGCACCAAAUCUAUAUUCAUUUGAUUUUCCUAUAAAUGCCAUCAUUUUUUCUUCCCAUAAAUUUCCUCUACUCUUAAAUAGUUACAACAUUAUUUAUAAUUUUGGGGGUCAUUUAUAAAAUUUCAUUUAUAUUAUAAGAUCAUGGCCCUCUUAAUAUUUCCCUCAUCUUACUAUUCCACUAAAAACUAAACAUGGUUUAUUUAAUUGAUAUAUAGGACUUCACUUAGUGGUGGAUCUAGGAAGUAAUUUUAGUGGGGGCAAAUAAAUUAAUAUAUUUAAAUUAAAUACUAUUACAAAAAUAUUUAUAUAAUUUUUAAAAAGUUUUAUUUUAAAAGUUAAACUGAUACAGCUAAAAUAAUUCUUUUGAAAAGAAAUAUAAGAUGAGGUCACUAACAAAAUAAAAUGAAAUAAAAUAAUAGAAUAAGUUGUCAAUAAUAUUGAAAGUUUGAGUGACAAAAGAAAUUACUAUGCUUUAUGUAUAUAGUUACAAUAUUAUUUAUAAUUUUGGGGGUCAUUUAUAAAAUUCAUUUAUAUUAUAAGAUCAUCAUCAUGGCCCUCUUAAUAUUUUCCUCCUCUUUUUUUUUUUUUUGAAUGAAUGUAAAAUUUAUUCAAUCAAAACUUCUAUUACAUCAAGUGCCUCUGUUUUUCAAUUUUGCAAAUAAACAGAUAAAACUAUUUUGAGUAAAUCUUCACUAACAUUUUAAAAACUAAAAAGAGCCUUGCAUUCUUGUUCCAAACCAAGUGCUUAGACCCUCUUCAAGAUAUCUUUGACCCCUCCCCUUAACUGCUAACAACUUCAGUCUUAUCAAUUUAUCCACACAUCUGAUCAAGACUUUGUCUUCUCGCGGUUGCUCACCAUGCCUUCGAGCAUUACGUUCUCUCCAUAUAUUAUGCACCAAAGCUUGAAACGCAUACCGAAGGAGAUACAUCUCAGUGGCUGUGAAGCUAGGCUUCUGCUGAGAAAUAUUUUCCUCUUCUUAUUCCACUAAAACUGAACAUGGUUUAUUCAAUUGAUAUAUAGAACUUCACUAGAAUUGAAGGAUUUGUAUAACUGAUACAUUAGUUAGAAUUGAUGUGUUUGUGGGACAGUAGUGAAAAGAAAUUGGAUAGAAAUUUUUUUUUUUUGGGCAAAAAUUAAGGUUUUCAAUUUUCAACAAUGUGGCGCGUGGGUAUUGUAGUUGUCACGUAAAUACGUGUUUCCGUUUCAGCCAUGUAAAAUAUACCUUGACAUUAGGCCAUUUAAGUUCUCUGUUCCAAAUACGGACCAGACCGACCGGUUCGGUUCUGCAAUCAGCCGAUACUCUCAAAUGUUCCCCACAUAUACUCUCUCUUGUCGUCUCUUUUCGUUAAAAGCCCAAAAGGGUAAAUAUUACAUGGAUCAAGUCCGACAAUUCUGAGUACAGCAGGCCCAUUCCCACAUAUACUUAUUAAACCGGUUGGUAAUGAGUGACUGGUUAUUCAAAUCAUAUAUAAUUAGUUUUGGUUUAACCAUUGUAAAUAGAAUCCUCUUAAUUACAUAAAAAGGUUCUAAUCAACCAAAAUCAAAAUGGUAUAACCAAUCAGAGUGUAAAUUUUAUGAAAUUAUUUUUGUUGUAACUUGUGAAAAAUCUCAACAAAUAUCAAAGAAAAUUCAAAACUAAGAGCAUGUUUAUUGCAUAUCUCUUAGCGUAAUAUAAGAUACGGUUUCUUAGCUUUUAACUAAAAAAACUAAAAGACGUUUCUUAUAUCUUUUAUUUAAUUAAAAACUAAGAAACUGUAUCUUAUAUUACACUAAAAAAUUUAACUUAAUAAACAUACAAUAAACAUGCUCUAAUAUUUGGUUGUAAACUAUAAAAUAUUAUUUAAACAAUUAUACAGUCGAUAAUUUUAUUUAUAUAAUGAUUAUGAGGAAUAUUUCAACCAGUUGAUUAUGAUUGAACUUUUGUAAAACUUAAUUAAUUUUCUCAAUAACUCUUUAUUCAGGUCAUUAAUUAUAACAUUACAAAACUGAUUUGAAGACGGCUGUCGGUCCAACUUGAGAACCGCAAUUAGAAGCAAACUGGUCAAUGAUUUUGCCAACCGGUUCAAAGCUGUAUGUCUGAAAAACAGAAAAAGCUGUCAAGAAAAAAACAAACUUAAAUUAGUUUUUUAAAAAUUCGCAGCAAAUCAGCUCCUUGUCUUGACUGAUCUAAUCCCUAAUUCGACAAAGAAAGGGUUUGAGAUUGAAGCGUAGACGGACAUAACUCUAAGGUCCCGUGACCUUUGUCGUGAUUUAACAUCACGUGUCCGUCAUGCCCCUUUUUCAGCGGAAAAAGCCGCCGCCGCCGGAGAAACCGUCCGAGGACCUCCCGGAGGACGACGACACCCAAAACAAAUCGAAAAACCACAAGAAACCGAGCGGAGGGAAGGCGAAGUGGUCGUGCGUGGAUUCGUGCUGCUGGUUCAUCGGGUGCGUGUGCCUCACGUGGUGGUUCCUCCUCUUCCUCUACAACGCCAUGCCCGCGAGCUUUCCUCAGUACGUUACCGAGGCGAUCACGGGCCCUUUGCCCGACCCGCCCGGCGUGAAGCUGAAGAAAGAAGGUCUCAAGGCGAAGCAUCCCGUUGUGUUCAUCCCCGGGAUUGUUACCGGUGGACUUGAGCUUUGGGAAGGGAAACAGUGUGCUGAUGGUUUGUUUAGGAAGCGCCUUUGGGGUGGAACCUUCGGUGAAGUCUACAAAAGGUCAGCAAAAAGAUAUCUUCUUUAGAUUACUACUACUUCUGUUGUAUGUGUGUUUGUGUAAGGGAAGCAAUAGCUUUUCAAUUAAACACGUUUGAUCUAAAAAUGCCAGUUUCCGUGGAGUUUUAAGUCAAAUGUUAACGCCGAAUGUGUUACUGCACAUGCCUUUAGAUUACGUUCUUAACAAGUUGCUUUCUUUAUUGUCAUUGGAUUUACCUUUGCUUGCACGGAGUUGAUACUGAAGUAAUUGCUACCUAAAGUUGUGAAAAAUGUGUGUUUUAAACUGUGAUAGGUUGCUUUAUUCUUCAACUAUGCACAUGUGCAACCAAAAGUUAGUUUCUUUUCUCUUUUGAAUCAAAGUGCUUUUCUCAAAUGCUUUCUGAGAACUGAAAAAGAGAUUUUUAAAAGUUUCCACAUUAGUUAUGUCUUUAAUCUCAUCUGUCCUCGUUCUGUUAGCUAGCUAUGAACUCCUCUUUUGUAUGUUAUGAUCUGCAUCUUUCUUUUUUCGGCUCACUGAUCUUCUUUUUUUUGCUCUUUUAGAGAUGGGACAGUGUUACCGUUGGAGACUAAUAAUGUUAUUGUUUAUAGUAUCUUUAGAUGAUUGAUUAUUUUCUUUGAUUCAGGCCUCUAUGUUGGGUGGAACACAUGUCACUUGACAACGAAACUGGUUUAGAUCCUGCUGGUAUUAGGAUUAGAGCUGUGUCAGGACUCGUGGCUGCUGAUUACUUCGCUCCUGGCUACUUUGUCUGGGCGGUGCUGAUUGCUAACCUUGCACAUAUUGGAUACGAGGAGAAGAACAUGUACAUGGCUGCAUAUGACUGGAGGCUUUCGUUUCAGAACACAGAGGUUCUUCUCUCAUUAAACAAACUCUCUUAUUCUUUCUUUUAUCUCUUAGGUUCUAACUGUCUUUCAUAUGUUUGAAUCAUUAGGUGCGUGACCAGACGCUUAGCCGUAUGAAAAGCAAUAUAGAGUUGAUGGUUUCCACCAACGGUGGGAAGAAAGCAGUUAUAGUUCCUCAUUCCAUGGGGGUAUUGUAUUUCUUACAUUUUAUGAAAUGGGUGGAGGCACCAGCUCCUAUGGGCGGCGGUGGUGGGCCUGAUUGGUGUGCAAAGCAUAUCAAAGCGGUGAUGAACAUUGGUGGACCGUUUCUUGGUGUUCCAAAAGCUGUUGCAGGGCUUUUCUCUGCUGAAGCAAAGGAUGUUGCAGUUGCCAGGUAUUGAAUUAGCCACUAGAUAUCAGUUUUAAUAGUAGUGUUAUAUUGUCUCUGCUACUAUUAGUUUGGUUGGUUAGAUUUGCUGCUUUAUGAAACUGGAACUCUCUUGAGAUUUAAACAAUUGAUGAAUUUGGCAUUGUCACUUACGAAACUGGAACUCCCUUGCAGAGCGAUUGCACCAGGGUUCUUAGACACUGAUAUAUUCAGACUCCAGACGUUGCAACACGUGAUGAGAAUGACACGAACAUGGGACUCAACGAUGUCUAUGAUACCUAAGGGAGGUGACACGAUAUGGGGCGGUCUUGAUUGGGCGCCGGAGAAAGGGCACACUUGUUCUGGUAAAAAGAAAAGUAGCAACAAGACUCGAGGAGAAGCUGGUGAAAACUCAGUUUCCAAGACAAAGCCUGUUAACUACGGAAGAAUCAUAUCAUUUGGGAAAGAUGUGGCUGAGGCUGCGCCGUCUGAUAUUGAAAACAUUGAUUUUCGAGUAAGGACAUAUAAACUCUUAUACUUUUUCUGUGACUAGGUGAUUAAUAUAUAGGUUUUAUUUGGUGAUAGGGUGCGGUGAAAGGUCAGAGUAUCCCAAACAACACAUGCCGUGACGUGUGGACAGAGUACCAUGAUAUGGGAAUUGGAGGGAUCAAAGCUAUUGCUGAGUAUAAGGUCUACACUGCUGACGCGGUUAUAGAUUUGUUACAUUAUGUUGCUCCUAAGAUGAUGGCGCGUGGCGCCGCCCAUUUCUCCUAUGGGAUUGCUGAUGAUUUGGAUGACCCCAAGUACGAACAUCACAGGCACUGGUCCAAUCCAUUGGAAACAAAGUAAGUGAUUUGUUUUGGUACCAACUCUAUGCUUUGUCCUCAUGCAUUCAGUAUUAGUCUCUUAUUUUCCAUCUUGUUGAAUAUGCUUUAUCAAUUUAAAGCUAAGAGCAUUCCCGAUGGUACUCUAUUUUUCACUUUAAGAUAGAGUCGAGAGUAAAAAUGUUCCAAUAGUAUUCUAUUUUUUACUCUAUAAUAGAGUAAAAAAUGAGUUUACUUUGCAAAUAGAGUAGCUCAUUUAUUUUUUGCUGACCACUCUAUUUUUCACUAUAAAAUAGAUUAUCAUCGGAAUAUAAUUCAACUCCAGAGUUAUUCUAUUUUGAAGGAAAAAAUAGAGUGAACCAUGGAUAUGGUCUAACAUAGCUGUUUGAGUCUUUUUUUGAAAUGACUUGCUUAAUUAUGUUUAGCUUUUAAAGUUGAUACAUGUGAUGCUUGCUUAUAAAACAAGCUCUAGGAUGGCUUUGACGUGACAAAUAAAUCAACUUAUUCAAAAUCUAUUUAGCUGAAAACCCUUAAACCAGCUUCUAGUUUUAGAGUUUAUCUAUCCCAAUAAGGAUCAUUUUUCCUCUAUCUUAUCCUUAAAACCCUCGUUUGGUUUGUUCUGUUGUUUCAGGCUACCCAAUGCCCCUGAAAUGGAGAUCUACUCACUGUAUGGAGUUGGGAUACCAACAGAACGAUCAUACAUCUACAAGCUCAAUCAGUCUCCAGACAGCUGCAUCCCCUUUCAUAUUUUCACUUCUGCUCACGAGGAGGACAAAGAAAGCUGUCUGAAAGCAGGAGUUUACAACUCAAAUGCUUUCUGAGAACUGAAAAAGAGAUUUUUAAAAGUUUCCACAUUAGUUAUGUCUUUAAUCUCAUCUGUCCUCGUUCUGUUAGCUAGCUAUGAACUCCUCUUUUGUAUGUUAUGAUCUGCAUCUUUCUUUUUUCGGCUCACUGAUCUUCUUUUUUUUGCUCUUUUAGAGAUGGGACAGUGUUACCGUUGGAGACUAAUAAUGUUAUUGUUUAUAGUAUCUUUAGAUGAUUGAUUAUUUUCUUUGAUUCAGGCCUCUAUGUUGGGUGGAACACAUGUCACUUGACAACGAAACUGGUUUAGAUCCUGCUGGUAUUAGGAUUAGAGCUGUGUCAGGACUCGUGGCUGCUGAUUACUUCGCUCCUGGCUACUUUGUCUGGGCGGUGCUGAUUGCUAACCUUGCACAUAUUGGAUACGAGGAGAAGAACAUGUACAUGGCUGCAUAUGACUGGAGGCUUUCGUUUCAGAACACAGAGGUUCUUCUCUCAUUAAACAAACUCUCUUAUUCUUUCUUUUAUCUCUUAGGUUCUAACUGUCUUUCAUAUGUUUGAAUCAUUAGGUGCGUGACCAGACGCUUAGCCGUAUGAAAAGCAAUAUAGAGUUGAUGGUUUCCACCAACGGUGGGAAGAAAGCAGUUAUAGUUCCUCAUUCCAUGGGGGUAUUGUAUUUCUUACAUUUUAUGAAAUGGGUGGAGGCACCAGCUCCUAUGGGCGGCGGUGGUGGGCCUGAUUGGUGUGCAAAGCAUAUCAAAGCGGUGAUGAACAUUGGUGGACCGUUUCUUGGUGUUCCAAAAGCUGUUGCAGGGCUUUUCUCUGCUGAAGCAAAGGAUGUUGCAGUUGCCAGGUAUUGAAUUAGCCACUAGAUAUCAGUUUUAAUAGUAGUGUUAUAUUGUCUCUGCUACUAUUAGUUUGGUUGGUUAGAUUUGCUGCUUUAUGAAACUGGAACUCUCUUGAGAUUUAAACAAUUGAUGAAUUUGGCAUUGUCACUUACGAAACUGGAACUCCCUUGCAGAGCGAUUGCACCAGGGUUCUUAGACACUGAUAUAUUCAGACUCCAGACGUUGCAACACGUGAUGAGAAUGACACGAACAUGGGACUCAACGAUGUCUAUGAUACCUAAGGGAGGUGACACGAUAUGGGGCGGUCUUGAUUGGGCGCCGGAGAAAGGGCACACUUGUUCUGGUAAAAAGAAAAGUAGCAACAAGACUCGAGGAGAAGCUGGUGAAAACUCAGUUUCCAAGACAAAGCCUGUUAACUACGGAAGAAUCAUAUCAUUUGGGAAAGAUGUGGCUGAGGCUGCGCCGUCUGAUAUUGAAAACAUUGAUUUUCGAGUAAGGACAUAUAAACUCUUAUACUUUUUCUGUGACUAGGUGAUUAAUAUAUAGGUUUUAUUUGGUGAUAGGGUGCGGUGAAAGGUCAGAGUAUCCCAAACAACACAUGCCGUGACGUGUGGACAGAGUACCAUGAUAUGGGAAUUGGAGGGAUCAAAGCUAUUGCUGAGUAUAAGGUCUACACUGCUGACGCGGUUAUAGAUUUGUUACAUUAUGUUGCUCCUAAGAUGAUGGCGCGUGGCGCCGCCCAUUUCUCCUAUGGGAUUGCUGAUGAUUUGGAUGACCCCAAGUACGAACAUCACAGGCACUGGUCCAAUCCAUUGGAAACAAAGUAAGUGAUUUGUUUUGGUACCAACUCUAUGCUUUGUCCUCAUGCAUUCAGUAUUAGUCUCUUAUUUUCCAUCUUGUUGAAUAUGCUUUAUCAAUUUAAAGCUAAGAGCAUUCCCGAUGGUACUCUAUUUUUCACUUUAAGAUAGAGUCGAGAGUAAAAAUGUUCCAAUAGUAUUCUAUUUUUUACUCUAUAAUAGAGUAAAAAAUGAGUUUACUUUGCAAAUAGAGUAGCUCAUUUAUUUUUUGCUGACCACUCUAUUUUUCACUAUAAAAUAGAUUAUCAUCGGAAUAUAAUUCAACUCCAGAGUUAUUCUAUUUUGAAGGAAAAAAUAGAGUGAACCAUGGAUAUGGUCUAACAUAGCUGUUUGAGUCUUUUUUUGAAAUGACUUGCUUAAUUAUGUUUAGCUUUUAAAGUUGAUACAUGUGAUGCUUGCUUAUAAAACAAGCUCUAGGAUGGCUUUGACGUGACAAAUAAAUCAACUUAUUCAAAAUCUAUUUAGCUGAAAACCCUUAAACCAGCUUCUAGUUUUAGAGUUUAUCUAUCCCAAUAAGGAUCAUUUUUCCUCUAUCUUAUCCUUAAAACCCUCGUUUGGUUUGUUCUGUUGUUUCAGGCUACCCAAUGCCCCUGAAAUGGAGAUCUACUCACUGUAUGGAGUUGGGAUACCAACAGAACGAUCAUACAUCUACAAGCUCAAUCAGUCUCCAGACAGCUGCAUCCCCUUUCAUAUUUUCACUUCUGCUCACGAGGAGGACGAAGAAAGCUGUCUGAAAGCAGGAGUUUACAAUGUGGACGGAGAUGAAACAGUGCCGGUCCUAAGCGCAGGGUUCAUGUGUGCUAAAGCCUGGCGCGGUAAGACGAGAUUCAACCCUUCCGGAAUCAAGACUUACAUUAGAGAGUACAACCACUCUCCACCGGCUAACCUUCUAGAAGGGCGGGGGACUCAGAGUGGGGCUCAUGUUGACAUCAUGGGAAACUUUGCGUUGAUCGAGGAUAUCAUGAGAGUUGCCACGGGAGGUAACGGGUCCGAUCUAGGACAUGAUCAGGUCCACUCUGGUAUAUUUGAAUGGUCUGAGCGUAUUGACUUGAAGCUGUGAAUAUUUUGAUCUCUUUGAGCUGUCAGCUGUUUACUUGCAAGAGAGAUCAUCAUGGUCCUGGUCAUGGUCAUCAUCAUGAUCACGAUGCUCAAGUCACAAAGAAGCCUGAGGUUGAUAUUUGUGCUGGUCCAAUAUUCUCACAUACCUUUUUUUUAUAUACUCUUAUUGAUGUAAAUUAUACGAUCUUGUUUAUGUUUUGUCCUUGGAACGAUAAUGCAAGACUUGCUGCGCCAUGUUGUUUGUCUUGUCGGAAACAUCACUUUAGGCCUGGGGUUCGGUUUUAGGUUUUGGUUUUUCGGUUAUGAAGAUAUAAAAAUUGUUAGGUUAUUUAUGAAUUUUAGUUUGGUUAUUUCAGACGGUUAUUGAUUCGAAUGAUAAUAUUAGGAACAGACUAAUAACGAUAUUUUUUUUUAAAAUCCAAUUUGGUUUUGGUUUUUUUGAUAAUUAUGAUAAAAUAUCAAAUAAUUUGGAUAAAAAUUUAAAUAACUAGGUUCUUUGAAUAAUUUUAACUAUUUCAGAUAAAAAUUAUUUGGAUAAUGUUUUCUGGUAGUUCGGUUUAUGAGUAGUAUUUAAAAAUAUUUGAUAAUCUUAACAUUAAAUACAAUUAAUAUUUUAAAUAUAUAAACUGCAUUUUAGAUAUUUAGAAACUAAUUCAAUUUUUUUUUCGGCUUUGAUUCGAUUUCCAUUUUAGUAAUAUAAGAACUGUUCGGACAUCUGUGAACAUUAGUUUAUAUUCGGAUUCAAAUUCGGUUCUGAUUCGGUUUCGGUUAUCUGUUUAUAUGACCAAAGCCUACAUCAGUUACUGAAAAAUACACAAAGAUAAGUCGAAGAGUUGUCAGACGUGGCUUAACCUGUUCCAUCUACUCCACACGAAAUCGUUGUCUUAACGAAAAGCGGCUCCUCCUAAAGGAAUAAAAGGAGCAAACAGCUUCUUCUCCCCCGUCCUCCUCUCCAACCAAAUAAAAUCCAUUUCCUCUCAAUGGAGCUGAGCUUGAGCACCUCUUCCGCUUCUCCAGCGGUUUUGAGGAGUCAAGCUUCUCCUCUCCUUCACAAGCAACAAGUGCUCGGCUUAACCUUUGCUUCCGCCCUUAAACCAGGAGGAGCUCUCCGGUUUACUCCCCCGCGCCGUCCGCUUCACCGUCCCAUCACUUGCUCUGUCUCUCCAUCAACCGCUGAACCAUCCUCCGGUAGUUUUAGUGUUUUCGCGCUUAAAGUUUGUCACUUUGAAUUGAACAAGAUAAGAUAAUGAUUGAUUGUGAGAUUGUUAAACUUAAAGGACAAAGCUUUCUUAUGUCUCUAGUAUGAUCAGUAGAGUUUCAAGCAGUUAAAUUCUAUCUUUUGAUUGGUGAUAGAGGUGAAGAAGAAGAAGACGUUGGUGAGGAGGGAUGACGUGAGGAACAUAGCAAUUGUAGCUCAUGUUGAUCAUGGCAAAACUACUUUGGUUGAUUCUAUGCUUAGGCAAGCUAAGGUAUUCAGAGAUAACCAAGUGAUGCAAGAGAGGAUCAUGGACUCGAACGACCUCGAGCGUGAAAGAGGAAUCACUAUCCUUAGCAAAAACACUUCCAUCACUUACAAAAACACGAAAGUGAAUAUCAUUGAUACUCCUGGCCACUCUGACUUUGGUGGUGAAGUGGAGCGUGUCUUGAACAUGGUUGACGGUGUGCUUCUUGUGGUAAUUUUUUAUGCUUUAUCUCAAUACUAUACAGUUAAAUUUCAGCUCUGUGUAUCUCAUUUUUCUUCUCCUUUGUCUCUUAGGUGGACUCUGUUGAGGGACCAAUGCCACAGACAAGGUUUGUUUUGAAGAAGGCUCUUGAGUUUGGACAUGCAGUUGUGGUGGUCGUGAACAAGAUUGACAGGCCUUCUGCUCGUCCUGAGUUUGUUGUCAAUUCCACUUUUGAGCUCUUUAUUGAACUCAAUGCUACUGAUGAACAGGUAUUGUUAAUUUUGGUCUUGUCUCUUAAAUUACAUGACACUAACGUUAGUGUUUGUUUGGUGCGUGUGUGUGGUGUGUAGUGUGAUUUUCAAGCGAUAUAUGCCAGUGGGAUCAAAGGAAAGGCGGGGCUUACUCCGGAUGACCUUUCAGAAGACCUGGGACCACUGUUCGAGGCUAUCAUUAGAUGUGUGCCUGGGCCCAAUAUUGAAAAAGAUGGUGCACUUCAGAUGCUUGUGAGUUAUUGUGACUUUUAUGUGUUUGUUUCCAGCAGUGCCAAUGCAUUUUUACUCUUUCAUCUCAUUGGCUAAACUGAACACAUCAAAUACUUGUCUCUUACCAACUAAAAUCAUUCACUUGCUGUAAACCAAGCUUCAAAUCCAAAUGGAAAACUAGUUGAGCUGAGUAGAUGAAUUGUAUGAAACUUGUUUUUUUCUUUCCAGGCCACAAAUAUUGAAUAUGAUGAGCACAAAGGACGUAUUGCUAUUGGGCGGCUACACGCAGGGGCACUGCGCAAAGGGAUCGAUGUCAGGGUAACAUUUUGAUAAAUCUUCAGCUUUUUACUUACUUUGUUAUCGGAUAGCAAUGAUGUGGGCUUAUACGAAGAAAUAUCACCUGAAGCUAGUCAUUUUCUCAAGUCUUUCCACUUUUUAAAGCAGCUGGUUUAUUGUAAAACUUAUUGUGUAUAACUUUACAGGUGUGCACUUCUGAAGAUUCCUGUAGAUUUGCAAGAGUGAGUGAGCUCUUUGUCUAUGAGAAAUUCUACAGAGUACCUGCUGAUACAGUGGAAGCUGGAGAUAUUUGCGCUGUCUGUGGCAUAGAUGACAUUCAGGUACACGUAUAUUCAUGGAUAAUUGCUUGCUGCCACUUGCCAUUUUUUUUUCUUUUUGUUGCUAAUUGAGUUAUAACGUCUUGGUUUCUUUGUAAACCCUGCAGAUUGGGGAGACUAUUGCUGAUAAAGUACAUGGGAAGCCUCUACCUACAAUCAAAGUAGAAGAGCCAACUGUGAAAAUGUCCUUCUCUGUCAACACCUCUCCAUUUUCUGGUCGUGAGGUUAGUGUAAUCAUGGCUAAUCUGGCUGUCAUAAGUCUUAUCUUUCUCACUUUCGAUGGCUAACGAUAUUAAGAGGGAAGUUGUAAGUUGAAUUAGUGCAAAGUUUGAAUUAUAUUUUCCUUUUUGUAGGGGAAGUAUGUAACGAGCAGGAACUUAAGAGACCGUUUAAACCGUGAACUCGAAAGAAACCUAGCUAUGAAAGUGGAAGAUGGUGAGACAGCAGACACAUUCAUUAUCAGUGGGCGAGGCACAUUACACAUUACCAUCCUGAUAGAAAACAUGUAAGUUCACUUCACUAACCAUCACUCCUUUCAUGUGUUAUUGAAAGUAGCUGAACACAUAAUAAUGUUCCAGGAGAAGAGAGGGAUAUGAAUUUAUGGUUGGACCACCGAAAGUUAUCAACAAAAGGGUCAACGAUAAAUUGCUGGAGCCGUUUGAGGUGGCAACUGUCGAAGUACCGGAGAAUCACAUGGGUCCUGUCGUUGAACUUCUUGGGAGAAGGCGUGGACAGAUGUUUGAUAUGCAAGGUGUUGGGUAUGUAUUGUUGUUUCUCUCCAUCCCUUUUAUGAGAGAGAUGUGUGAAUCCUGUGAGACAUGACAGGUCGGAAGGAACAGUCUUUCUGCGGUACAAGAUCCCAACACGUGGACUACUCGGACUGAGGAAUGCAAUCUUAACAGCUUCUCGUGGGACAGCCAUCCUCAACACCGUGUUUGACAGUUAUGGACCUUGGGCUGGAGAUAUCAGCACCCGUGAUCUUGGUUCGCUGGUGAGUUAUGGAGUUUGAGAUAGUUUUUAGGAAUGAGAACUUCUGUGUGACACAUGUGGCAUUUUGUCUUUUCAGGUUGCGUUUGAAGAUGGGACAUCAACGUCGUAUGCGCUGGCGAGUUCGCAAGAGAGAGGGCAAAUGUUUGUAGGUGCAGGUGUGGAUGUAUACAAAGGUCAGAUAGUUGGGAUCCAUCAGAGACCUGGUGACUUGGGGCUUAACAUCUGCAAGAAGAA
This 60534-nucleotide long non-coding RNA is filed under the name Brassica napus (rape). RNAcentral describes it as "long non-coding RNA (BNAP_LNC001078)". Lineage: Eukaryota; Viridiplantae; Streptophyta; Magnoliopsida; Brassicales; Brassicaceae. The record is from RNAcentral.